UUUGCUGAUGAUACAUUGGUGUUCUGUAAACCUUCACAAGAUCAAUUGACUUAUCUCAGUUGGUUACUUAUGUGGUUUGAGGCCGUUUCGGGAUUGAGAAUAAAUUUGGAAAAAAGUGAACUCAUUCCAGUAGGGAGGGUAGAGAAUAUGGAUGAUCUUGCUUGGGAAUUUGGUUGUAGAUUGGGUAGCCUUCCAACCACCUAUUUGGGGAUGCCCUUGGAUGCUCCUUUUAAGUCAGUUACAGUUUGGGAUGGUGUGGAAGAGCGCUUCUGAAGAAGGUUAGCCAUGUGGAAGAGACAAUAUUUAUCCAAGGGAGGAGGGCGACUCUUAUUCGAAGCACGUUAUCGAAUUUACCCAUCUAUCUCAUGUCAUUGUUGUGCUUACCAAGCUCAGUCAGACGGAGAUUAGAGAAAAUCCAAAGGGACUUCCUUUGGGGUGGGGGCAAUUUGGAGCGAAAGCCUCAUUUAGUAAGAUGGGAGUUGGUGUGUUUAAGUAAGAAGAAAGGAGGUUUGGGGGUCAAAUGCCUUUCCAUUCUCAACAAGGCUCUUCUUGCUAAAUGGAAUUGGCGUUUCGCAAAUGAGAGAGAAGCUUUGUGGAAUCAAGUGAUUAGAGGGAAGUAUGGAGAAGAUAGAGGGGGUUGGUGCUCUCGGGAAGUGAGAGAGGCUCAUGGUAUGGGGUUAUGGAAAGGAAAAAGGAUGGAUAGGGAGUUGGUGAGCGAUAGGAUGGUUUUCAUUGUUAGUAAUGGGAGGAGGGUGAGAUUUUGGAGGGAUAGAUGGUGCAGGGAUUCUCCUUUGUGUAUAUCUUUUCCUUCUCUUUUUGAUUUGACUGUUGAGAAGGAAGCGUGGGUGGCAGAUUUUUGGGAUCCUUUGGCUGAGGGGGGUUGGGGGGUGGGGGAGGGGGUUUGGAACCCCUAUUUUUUAAGAGCUUUCAAUGAUUGGGAGGUAGAGGAGGCGGAAAGAUUUUUGGAGAGGCUUCAUGGUAAAAGAGUUAUUGAGGAUGUGGAGGAUAUAGUGUCCUGGACUGAAACUAAGAGUGGUAAAUUCUCGGUCAAGUCUCUCUAUGUUGCCCUUGAAGCGGGUUGUUCAUCUCUGUUUCCUUCAAGCUAUAUUUGGAAUGUGAAUGUGCAGCCCAAGAUUAGUUUCUUUGCCUGGGAGGCUACGUGGGGCAAAGCCUUAACCUUGGAUAUGGUCCAGAAAAGAGGACGGGCAUUGGCAAAUAGAUACUUUAUGUGUCUUGAGAAAGAGGAGACCAUAAACCAUCUGCUCCUUCAUUGUUCAAGAACAAGGGUGUUAGGGGAUCUACUUUUUACCUUAUUUGGGGUGUCUUGGGUAUUGCCUUCUUCAGUUAGAGAGACCCUUCUAAGCUGGAAUGGUUUUUUCGUGGGCAAAAAACGCAAAAAGGCGUGGAGAGCUGCUCCUCUUCACAUUUUCUGGACGGUUUGGAAGGCGAGGAAUAGAUUGGCUUUCAAGGAUGAUAUGUUGUCAAUUCAGCGACUGAAACACUCUUUUAUCCUUUCUUUUUGGUCCGAUACUAAGUUGUUCAUAGAUGAUUGCCCUCUAACUAUAUCUAAUUUUAUUGAUUGGUUGGGCUCUAAGUAGGAUUGGGUUGUUGGGCUAUCUUUGUUUUUUAGCCUUGUUGGAGGCGGGUGUAUAGGUAUUAUAUACCUUGAGUCGCUUUUUUAGCGUUUCUUUUAUAUAUGAAAUCUUAUUUACUUAUCAAAAAAAAAAAAAUGUAAUUGAAGACUUUCACAUUAAUGAGGUAAUAAAUAACCACUGAUACUUCUUCACCCCAAAGUUCCUUCACAAAAAUUUGGCAAGUGAAGAACUAUUUCGGAGUUGUGAAGCACCAAUUCCAGCUUCAUUAUCUUGAUCUUCAGAAAGAGGGAUCCAACUUGAUUUGGGAUUUUAUACCUGUCAACCCAGUCACUAAUUUUUAGGAGAAUACUUCCAAUUUACCAUUGGGUUGCUUUAGAAAGUUUCUUAAUAGUGCCAUCUCUCUAGCUUAAGGGGCUUUUGUUAAUGGAAGGCAAAUACUAGAUGUGGUUAUCAUUAGUAAUGAAAUCCUAGACAAAUACUAGAUGUGGUUGUCAUUAGUAAUGAAAUCCUAGAUGAAAAAUUCUGUUCUAAGGACGAAGGGAUGGUUUUUAAAAUAGGUUUUGAGGAAGUUUGUGAUCACAUAGAUUGGGGUUUCAUGUAUGAUACAUACUUUGAAUAGGGAAGGCCUUGAACCUGGAUGGCACAAAGGGACUGGAUAUUUUGAGGUUGUUUUUCAAACUGCAGGCUCUUUAAUGGUGUUAUUGAAGCUGAGUGUUUAGCACUCGAGGAAGAUUCGGACAUGGUUGUUUGCCUGGAUGUAAUGAACCUCCAUAUUGAAGGGGAUUCCUUUGUUAUUGUCUCAGAACCUUCUUUGAAGGCAAAGGUCCUUAGUGGAUUGCUCAUCAGAUGGGGUGGCUUCAUAAUCAUGCUAGAGACAUUGCUUGUUCUUCUCUAUUGAGGCCCAGAUCAGCUAGCCAGGUGCAUGGCUAUAUUUUUCUUAUAGGGAUGCUAAUAUCUGAAAAUUUUUAUUGAGAACACUUACUGCUCUUUGAUUGGUUUGAGGCAUGGAGCGGCUUUUCUGUUCUCUUCUUGCCAUAAAUGCAUAUCAUCCCUCUUUUUGAUCUUGUUUAACUCAAUAAAUUCUCAUUUGUUAUAAAAAAGAGAUAUUAUGUUACAUGAUGGAAGGACUUUAUUCUGUUAUGGAAUAUGCAAAACCUAGAUCUAUUGGCUAGAGCUAUACAGUAGGUUGUUGGGCUGUUCAGCAUUGUCUCUUUUUUGGAUAGGUUUGGCCAAUGCCCCUUGAUGUUACUUUUUGGUAAUGUAAUUUUCUUUGAUUUUUCUUGAAAAUUCCUCAUUUUUCAAGCUUGCUUGUAUAUCUUUCCUGCUUCCAUUAAUGAUUGUUUGAUUCCUUACUAAAAUAAAUAACAAAUUAUGAUGCAAAAGGAUUACGUUUAUGGAAAAUUUUGAGAUUUUCACCAGAUUAGAGUCUCUGAAGCUGGUACUUGUCUUGACACAGAUAAUAGGAAUCGUUUUCCCCCCAAACUACAUAAGACAUGUCUGCUACUUGGUAAUGUUCCAUUGGCAGUUAUAAACUCUCCUGUCAAAAGUGAAUCUGUUGUAGCAUUCCAAAUGGUGUAGUGUCGUACAUAGAUUGGUAAUUGAGGACUUUAUUAUGGAUUUUGUCCUGUUCUGGUUGUGCCAACAAGUUCUAUCCUGUUCUUUGUCUUGCUGAUUUGGGUGGUUGUGCAUCAUGAUCCUACAGCUGUAUAAUUAUGCUUCAGGAGCAUAGUUAUUCUGGUUUUACCAUCCAGAUGAUGGUACUAAAGUAUUUGUAUUCUAGAUUGCACAACUCCUUAUAUGGGAUAUUUUUGCACCAAAUGCUUAGUGAUCAAGAGAACUCUCAUAUUAAACACAGUCAUCUUCUAUUAAACUAAAUUCCUUAAGUAUGCAGUCUCACAACUACAUCAUACCAUUCUUUUCCUUUUUUCUUCCUUUCUUGCUAUUACAGGUUGGUUGCCACUAAUAUAGUAGAAAGCAAAUUACACGACCCUGCUUCCAUAAGACCUUUCUUAUUCCAUAGGUUGAAAUAGAAAAAACACUUGAUGGGACUAAUGUUUCUUUUUGCAACCAAGCAAAUUAAAAUGUUUUGAAACCCAUGCUGCCAUGAUCGUAGGUAAUUUGCAUUUUAUAUGUCUACUCCUUUCUAUUUACCAUAAUGAUGCAUGCAUCUAGUCAAAUUGUGUAUUUCUUAUGCUUGUAUUUAUUUCCUGAUGAGUUUAUUCUGACUCUUUGAUCAGGAUUUCUGCAAUCACAUUGCUUGCUAUUGAAUUUUCAAUGGCUUAAUAUGAAUUAUUAAUAAAGAUGUUGUUUAAUUAUUUCAGCAGCUUAUACUUGGUAAUUUCUUUUAACAACUCUUAUCUCUGAUGUUCAUUUGUAAUAAAUAGCUGGAGAAAGGGCCCAACGUGAACGCCUUCGGGACUUGGCUGUGUUUGAGAGGUUACAUGGAAAUCCUGGGAAAACAUCUCCAAGCCUUGCUGUCAAAAAGGUAAACCCUACAUCUCAUUCCUCUAUACCGCAUCUUAGCUUCUCAUCUUGCAUCGGACAAUGAUACUCUUAUUGAAUCAUCUUUACCAUAUCAGCCAUCAACAUGUGCACUUAUUGAGCGCUAAUUCAGGCACUUAUACUUGUGCUUUUGUUUUGUUUUGUUUUAUCUUGUCUUGCUUUGUUUUGGAGGUGAUUGUGUUGGAUGACCUAUAUCUGUGUUAGACACCAAAGCCUAUCUUAAUGCUACUGUAAAGUAAGACUAUGCUAAUAAGCUAUUGAUCUGUUACAGGGUUUAUGCCAAACUGAUUUUUUAGUUUCUCUAGUAGAAAACUUGUUUUUUCCCCUGUUAUAUUGGUGCUAUUGUUGGAUUUGUGUUUGUUGUUGAUCAAGCAUUUGCUGAAACUUUUUUUUUUUUUUUCCUUUGCUUCUUGACGUGCAAAGCAUUAUUGUUUGAAUUUUAAUGAUCCCAUUUGAUUCACUAUUCAAUAUUUUUAUUUGAUAUUACAUCUAUCUCAUUUGUUUUCUUUUCUUAGUUUGUUUGGUUUUUUUUUUUUUUUUUUUGAAUUUGUGACAUUUGAAUUUGAUGGAGCCACCAUUAAUUUAUUUUUCCUUAUUAUUGUGGGGUGUGCUUUAUUUUGUUGUACUAUUAUUGUCAUGUAACUUUUCUUUUUUGUUUUGUUUAAUCUAUUGUUCCUAUGAGCAUUAAAUGCUUCUAAAAUGUAUGGAACAGGCUAAACCUUUCUAUAGUUUUUUUAAAAAAAACUCAUUUAUUAUCUAUUUUCUUGUGCUCAAAAAAUUAUAUUUUUUUAGUAAAAUUGAAAAUUUAGGGAGCUCUUAGGCCUCAGCAACUCAACCCCUUGAGGGUUUAGGCCUAUCAUAGCAAGAUGUAAACCCCCUUGCCUCUUAUGCUUUUACCUUAUGAAACUAUACCAAGAAACAAACACCACAACUCCCUGCUGCCAUCAAAGGAUACUUCAAAGUUUGCUUCAAAUCAAUCUUAAGGCUAAUUAUCAUAGGCUUGUCAUCAUGUCACUAAAAUUGGUAUUGUAACCAAAGUCCUAUUGCGAAAUCUUCAAGUUGCAGCUCCUCUUUUUCUGUUGGCUCUUGUAUUGUUAGGUGGCCGCAACCUGUUGCUUUUCUUAUGCUUUAUGAACUACUCCAGUUAAAAUAAUGCUCCAAGUAGAUGCUUUUUGGAUCUUGACUCUAGCAAGAGGCUUAUAUUGCAAAUUUUUUUGUGGAGGCCUAGAUAGGUUAACUAGGAAGACAAUAGCUUGCUUAAGAGGAUUGCCACCUCUCCUUUUGGGUUUGUAAAAAUUUUGGUUCUCCCUUGACCUUAGGAGUCCUGUGGUUUCAAUUUUGGAUGUGCUCUAGGUUGUAGCCUGUGUUAUGCUUUCUAAAUGGUAAUCUUCUUCUUGUUUUAGCUGGGAUGCUUUUGUUUAUUUUGCUCGUUUGCUUUCUUUGUUUCUUUAUUGUGGCUGUAGGAUCACCAAUCAACUUUUUAUUCUCUGCAAAAACUGUUUAUGUUUCAUAAUGAAAAAGGAAAAAACAAAGGCAAGUUAGCCUAGAAUAGGUUUCAUCUUGUUUCUUCUUUUACCAUUAGUGUGGAUUCGAACUCAGGAAGAGGCCUUCAAACAAGUGGCAUUUGUGUUUUUUAAACAUAUAUCUUUAUUCAAUCAUUAGUAAGUGUUUGCUGUCUUGUCUGUUCUUUUGGUUGUUUUUGUCUUUGUCAAAGUGUAUAAUUGUAAUAUCCCACACCGUAUAGAGGAAAAAGUUCCUAGCGCUAUAUAUGUAUGAACUUCUUUUAAUCUUGUUGAUUCGUUUUUAAGCCGCGAGGGUCGCUUAGGCUCAAAGCAAAUAAUAUCCACACAACUGGGAGUAGGUUGUUACAAAUGGUAUCAAAGUCAAUCCUCGACCUCGGUAGGAGAGUUUGCUUGGCCUAAAAUGGGUGUUCGUUUAUUUGACCCUACAAUCCUGUGGGACACAAUAAGGACGUUGUGUCUGCAUGAGAGGGUGAUUGUAAUAUCCUACAUUACAUAGGAGAAAAAGUUCCUAAUGUUAUAUAUAUAUAUAUAUAUAUAUAUAUAUAUAUAUAUAUAUAUAUAUAUAUAUAUAUAUAUAUUCCUCUUAACCUUGUACACAUAUUUUAAAGUCAUGAAGGCCACUUAAGCAUAGGAUGGAUAAUAUCUAUACGGUUGGCUGCAGGUUGUUACAAUAAUUACUUUUGAUUUUCCUUUCAUAUGUUUAAUUGCAUAAUAUUAUUAUAGCAAAAUAUUAAUCUAUCAUAAUGCAACGUCUUGUAAAGCUUAUGUUGGGUCUCAUGAUUUGAUCUCUUGUCAUUUUUAUUAUUAUGAUUCAACAUCAUCUUAGCUUAUAAUCAUUUAUACACUUGAUGCAUGAGAAAUGAAGAUGCCAUAAAUUGUAGGAUCUUUUUCUCCAAUUUGUUCCUUGAUAUUUUAUAAUGCCAUGAAAUGUCUAUAUUUUGAUGCAGAAAGCCGUUCACCCUCCAUCUCUCUCACUAGUUUUGCAGAACCAUUGCCACUAAGCACAUGCAGGCAUCAGAUGUGCGGCCACUUCCAGUGUUGGAAGAGACUUUGAACUACCUAUUAAACCUGUUGGAUGCCACGGAACAUCCUUUUGACGUGGUUCAUGAUUUCGUCUUUGAUAGGACAAGAUCAAUAAGACAAGAUCUUAGCAUGCAGAAUAUCGUUAAUGAUCAAACAAUUCAUAUGUUUGAAGAAAUGGUAUGAAUUUCUUGAAACAUAAUCUCAAUUACCUUUUUUUCUAAGCAUUCAUCUCCUCAACAUACAAUAAGUUAGCCAACCCAUUGCUAAACACUCUCCUAGUUGGAGAAAAUAAUCAAAGUAUACAAGAGAUAAAAUGUUGAAUAAUUGAGUCAUUAUCCUCUCCUUUUGCUUUAUUGAAUAAGAUAAUUUAUUCAGUGGAGUCCAAAUGAGGUGAAACUGUGAUCACACAACUUGAAGCCUACUUUACAAUGGAUAAAUGAAUGGUCUGAUUCUGAAUCUUUCUUGGCACAUUAGUUAUUAUCCAAUCCAUUCUAAUUAAAUUAUCCACUAUUAAGUGUCUAUUUCCAGUCACCCUCUAAGUUAUGAAAGACCCAUAGAACCAAAGCAACUCACACCACCUGUGAUAGGAAUUGGUGCUCUCUUCCAUAAUGUCAAGUUUUCCAGUACACUUGCUGACUUUGUAGAAUAUGCCUACAAAAAGGGCUGCCACCUCCUAAUUCCCAAUCAUAGAAGUUUCUUAACCAUAUUUCAAAAGUUGUAUUUCCUGUUCCCUCUCUUAAAGUUUUUUAAACCUAUAUAUCUUUAUCCUAGUAAUUCGGAAAAAUGAGGAAAUUAUUUAACAAGAACUCCAUCAAUUUGUUCCUCAAAAUUUUAUAUAGUUUCUCUCUCUCACUUUUGAUUCAAAUUCUUAAAGCAAAGGAACAAAUUCAUGGCCAGUAACAUUUUUAGCCAAGCAAUAGAAUGCACAACAAGCAUGCAUAUGAAUGAAUUGUGUUUUUUGAUGAUAAUAGAUCAAAUAUUUUAAUCUCAUCCUAAAACCUUUGAGUUAGCUAAAAGCCGCAUCUUAUGUUCUGACUUGUGGUUUGUUUCAUAAUAUAGGUGAAAUUUCAUAUUAUAUCCCACCACAAGCUUCGCAGUUGUAGCAGCAAGCGAAGUUUUUCUUCAGUUCAUUACCUCAAUAUGGAGCAGCUGAAAAAGUGUCUGAUAUCUCUAUAUGCUCUGUACAAAGAAAAUCGAAAUUCAAAUUCUAUUUACAAGAAUGAACCUGAGUUCUACUCAUUUCACGUUCUUCUUCAUCUUGGCUCUAACAGCCAACCAUUGGUGGAUACUUGCUUCCAUUGUUUGUUUGAGUUCAUCUUUUUCAGUAUCUCUUGCUGCCUUGUAUUGGUUUCUGAAUAUGUUACUAUUUCUGUUCUGAAGGGAGAGUCACUCUCUUUAUGGUUGGGUCGUGUACCUUCUCUCAUUUUGAAGUCAAAGGAAAUGUGUUUUGCUCGGAGACUUUUAAGGUGACCACAAAGCUAUUAUAGAUUCGACUUGCAUUUAAAUUGUUUAUAUUCAUUUUACAUUUAACUCAAUGUAGAGUGGUUCUGUUUUCCAAUCGAUUUUUUUCUCUUCUUUUAGUACCCAAUGUUAAAAAUUUUGUUUUCAUGAACUGAAAGAUCUGUCUUUUCUUGUAACAGAUUAUUUCGGAUGGGCAAUUAUAAGCGUUUCCUUUGUACUACAACAACUGAGGCAUCUUAUUUACAGUACUACAUAAUUGAACCUUACAUCAAUGAGGUUGCUUAAAUAUGUUGAUUUUGCUAGAUUUUUCAGUUUGAAAAAUAUAUGCUUCUUUAUUGAUUUAUUGUUUUCCAAUUUCAUUUAUGAGAAUAUAUCUAAAAUCUAGACUUGAGUACUUAUGCUUUUAGGUUUUAUUUUUCUUUCAUUUUUGUUAGUAGUUGUACUUCAUUAUUCUUAAAUUUCUCACCAGUUGUUUCUUUAUGUGGUUUAUUGCUCCUCACUUUCUUCAUUCAUCUGAAGUGUUCAAAUUCAAUUUGCUUGUUUCAUAAACCAGGUCUUAUUUAGAAGUUCUUCUCAAUUCCCUUUUUUAGUGCUUCUAAAAGACAUGCCUGAUUUAUAUACAUUUUUGUUGGUUUUCUUUUGACCGUAAAAGGUUCGAGCAUUGGCAUUGUCAUGUGUAAAUUAUUGUGGCUACAAACUUCAUCCGUAUCCAAUUGCACACUUGUCCAAACUCUUGAUGAUGAAGGUAUGAUUGCAUUUACUAGCAUUAAAUUGCUAAAAUUUGUCAUCCAAAGUUCCAAUAUCUUUUGAACCUUAAAGACUUCAUUUGCAUUUUUGUAGGAAUUAGAUGUGGAAUCAUUUUGCAAUGCUUGUGGUCUUGAGACCAGCACUGAUGAACGGGGAAAUAAGUUCUUAUCAACCAAGCAAACAAACUUCCAUUAUCCCAAGGAAGUCUUUCCAAGCUAUUGCCUUUUGGGUUUGGAACACUUUUAGAGGUAACAAUCAAUUGGAACUAGUUACUCUUUCAAACUUCUUAUUGUACAAAUAUAACUUGCAUGUGCAACCAUUUCUGAUCCCAUAAUUUCAAGAAUUUAUGACACCUUCUAGUGGUUAGUUUUUUUGGGAAUAGAGUAAAGCAAUCUAUUCACUCCCAGAAACUAUCGUCAAAGGAACAGUAGAUAACCCCGCAAGACCAAAUUUAUGUGUGUGCAUGGAGAUGCAUGUUUUCUACAUCCCAAUCAUGCAGUGUUGUGCCAAAUGGAAUAAUAGCAACUGAUGAUAAGUGGUAUUUCUAAAAUCUUCUAAGAGUAUUCCAUCUAUUGUAAUAUUGUUUUCUCAAAAUUGUCUUUGAGUCUUAUGUGUAAAUAUUAGAGUUGACCUCUUGUAAGCUAUCAACUGAUGUUGUAACUUAACUUGAAAGGGAAAUUCUAUAAAUUUAGCCUUGGUUUGGCUCUUGGAAAGCAAAGAAAAAUUAGGUUAAUAGUGAGUUGAUUUCUUCCCUUCCCAUGGAUGUAAGCACAUUCUUGAAUCAUGUUAAUUAUUUUUUGGUUUAUUUUGUUGUUUUGUUGUUUAUUGUUCAAUUGUCUCCGCAUAACAAGUGGUAUCAGAGCUGUUUCCAACACAACAGAUGAUUCCUGUGCUAACACAAAGUUUGAGGCUAAAUGGAAGAUGGUAAAAGUUUCUAGAAUAUUUCCCUAUGACAACUACCAAUAAAGGAUGUACUUAAUAGGAAGUUCAUAAGGUGUUACAUGGCAAGUUGAACAAAACCAAUAGCUAGAGAUAUCUGAAAUAUUUGGGGCCACUGAUCCAACAAUAGCAGAGAAUAACACAAGAAGAGACCCUCUAAUCACCAUUUUUGCUUUGAUUCUUCUCUACAAAGCAUCAUCUCCUUUAUACAAAAAGACAACCCAUUGCUGAGCCCACAUUAUUCUCUACAUAUCCCAAAAAAGCCCUCCAAAUUUUAGGGCAUGGUGCUCUUUUUAGGGGUAUUUUGGUACUAAAUUUGUGGUAGUCUCUCAAAUACCUAAACUACCCUCCAGAUUUUAAGGCAUGGCCCACUCUUUGAGGUGGUAUUUUGGGUACUAAUUUUUGUUAGGAGAGGUUUUGGUGUGGAAACUGGAGGGCUUUACACACGUUGCAUGUAUUUUCUUUUGCAUGCAUUACACAUAGAUUGGAGUUUAUGCAGUUACUCACUUUUUGUUCGUCCAACAAUACUGUAGUGCCACGUCACCAUAUGAUGGGCUCUUUAGUCUUUUCAAACCCAAAAAAAACACCAAAAAAAAAAAAAAAACUAAUACUAAAAGGAUUGCUAACUAGCUAUGUGAAGACGAACCUCUAUAGCUAGCUUCUUAGAGGGACCAUGAUCGCUUAGGCCAAGGAAGUUUAAGGUGAUAAUAUGUUUGUGAUGCCCUUAGAUGUUUUAGGCACACGUGCGUUACAUUAAUGUAUUCAAUGAGUCUCUAACCUUUAUUGACAGGUCCGAGUAAUCUUUGAAAUUUCAUUGUGAUGGGAAGGUUCCAUGUGAACAACACUUGCACAUGGGUUAGUCAAUCUUAAGAGACGGGGGAAGCUCAUCUAACAGCACACAAUGUGCGAGCUUUGAAAGGCAAUCAGGUUAACAUUUCUGAAUUGGGACAUGACAGCGGACAACAAUAUUAGGUAGUCCAAAGAUGUCGUUAUAUUAAUUGUUAUCAAUAUUUUUAUUUAUUCAAUAGAGAUUGAGGAUUAAAAAAAUACCACAAAAAUUAGAAAAAACAAAAUUAAUUACAUGGCUUACAUUUCAAAUAUUUAAUAAAAUAUUGUAUGAAAGUUGAAUAUCAUACACUAUUAAAUAGUUGGAUUCUCUUCUUUAAUUUUUUUAAUUGUCUCAUCCUAUUAAAUUACUCAUCUAAUAUUAAUUUAUUUUAAAGGUAAAAUUAAUUAUAUUGUAAAAAACUUUUAACUGACCAGAGUUUGUGCACAACAUCUAAUAUAUACUUAAAUAUAAUCCUCCAACUAAGAAAUGAAAUCAAAACUUAAAAAUCAUUUAUAUAUAUAGAUAUAUGUUAUCAAGUUUAGGUAGUGAAGCAAUUAAUGUGGUAUAAAAUUAAUGCCAAAACUUUUGAUUGUUCCUUCACAUUCUCCACAACCAAACAAAGGAUAUAAGAAAAAUAAAGAAAGAAAUUUAGGGUAGUUUGAUUUUUGUUCUCAUCUUGUUGUGAAGUUAAUAGAGGAAUGCUUGGGUUGGUGCUCGAUAGUUAAGUGAUAGCAGGGUAUAAUGAUUCUUCCAAUCGUGUAAAUAUUAUUUGUUUUAAUUUCAAUGGAUCAUCGUCACUUUAAAUUGCAUCCACAUGGUUAAGAGCAACUCAUAUGUAUAUAAUAUCAUGAAUUUCUUCUUAUUCGAUAUGGAAUAUCAAAUUAGGUAUCUUUCAAUUUUAGGUAUUGUGUAAGUGUUUCAACUCAAAUGACUUGGCUUAAUGUAUACUCAAAGCCUUGACAAAGGAACGUAUAUGUAAUAAAGUGAAAAUUAAACCUUGUCGCCCUUCUAUCUCUGGUAUGAAACACAAGUCCAUUAUCCCUUAAACAUGUGCAAAAAAAGAUAUACACCUCUGAUACAUUAAUUAAAAUAAACGAUAGAAAAAGAGACUUUAUAUAUCCAUGUACAUAAUUUGAUUAGAUUUGUUAUAUAUAGAGAGAAAAAAAACUGUUUAGAUUAAGGAUCUCAUUAAUUAAUACCUAGAAAAUAUAAAAGAAUAAGAAAAGAUUAGAAGGUGUGAAUCAUAAGAUAAGACUACAUUUUUUAAUUAGAUUCAUCGAAAGAUGGCAUAUUGUAUGAACAUUUUUACUCUAUAUAUAAAAACUUAUAUUAUGGUUGAGAUAUAUUAAUUUGUCAUAUUUUUGGACAUUUAAAGUAAUGAGCAAUUACACUAAAUUAAAUUAUUGACCUUAUUAAUCAAUACCUCAAGAGUAUAAAAUAGUAAUAAAUGAAUAAUACAAACUUCAUCGAAAUAUUUUUAUAAGCACAUUACGUAAAUAUUCUUAUUUAAUAAAAGUUUAUAUGUCAUUAAAUGAAUAGAGAAUUUUAACAUUUAUUGCAGUGCUAAGUAGAGGAGAUCCUAUUUUUAAGCUGUUGAUUAAGGCUUAUUUGAUAAAACUUAAUAUUUAUUACUUAAUAAUUUAAGUUGACUUUAAGUUAUAUUAUAUUUAAGUUAUUUACGUAAAAUUUAUUAUUUAAUAUUUACUUUAAGUAUUAAAGUUAUUUGAUAAAGUUAAUUUAAAAAUCAUUUUAAAUUAUCAAAUUGUCAUAUUUACCUUCAUUAAUUUGGUAACUAGAUGCAGAUAAAUGAAACAAAAAAAAAAAUUUGAGAUUAAGAAUAAGUUAAUUACUUUGAUUUAACACUUAAAAGUAACUUUAAGAUAUAAUAUUAAGUUAUUUUAUCAAAUAUAUUUAAUCUACUUAAUAAUUAAAUUAAGUUAUUAAGUUAAUGAAUGAUUACCAAACACCCUAUAAGACCCAAAAAAUCGAAUGAGUUUUAAUAGUUUUUAGGAUGGGCAUGACUAGGUGGUGGUUCAAUGCUGAUUAAUCAUAAUUCAAUCAAGGCAAAAUAUGUAACAAAUACAUGUCAAACUGCACCAUCCAAAUGGGCGCCAAGAACGUUACAUUUGACAAAUGCCAUUACACCUCUACAGCUAGCAAUUAUUUUGAUCACAUAAAAAAUGGCAAAAAAGUGUGUUGUACUUCAUCUUGAAGCUCAUUAACUUCAUCUUAAUUUGAUCCGAAUUGCAGAAACAUGUGAAACUCCAUGAAUCUAUGGUGCUAUGGUGGCCUACGUUCAUAUAACUGGGGACACUUUGGUUUACACUACAAUGACCCCAAACAGGGUUUGUAGAGACUUUAUCAAGAUCACUAGCUUCAAAAGACUAAGGAAAGAAACAUGUUCUCAAUGAAAACUUGGAGUCAAAUUGCAGAUAAAGACCUAAAACUCCCACUUAAUGUGUUUGAGGAAUUGUUGUUUCAUGGGGAUAAGCUGUUUGGUUUGUACGUGUCUCCUUGGUGAUACUUAGAGAUCGGUGAAGUAUACGUAUCCUUUGUGAUCUGGUUUGUAUAUGGGCAGAUGAAUGUUGAUGCCAGGUUCAUAUAUGUUUCUGAUAUAUAUCACCCUGGAAGGAUCUAGAUCAAGGGGAUGAGUUUCAAAAGCUUGAGUAGGUUUAAGAUGUUCCGAGAAUUGGUGAGCAUGAUAUAUAUCAAUACGAUAUUGCAGAAGACAACAGAGCUUCUGAAAUUAAUAUGUCAGGUUCAAUAGUAGGAAAUCUUAUCAGCUGUCACUUACUGUAAUCGUAUGCUCUAAAUAUUCAUUUGUUGAAGAAGAAAAAAAAAAUUUGCUUUCACACUAUUCAAUUACAAGAGAAUGUUCAAUUAUAGAAGAAAAUAAUAUUCGCUAGUCUCUUUCAACUUAAUCAACAUGCAGAGAAAAGCAGUGAAUAAUAACUUACAUACAUUGUCUCUCUACCCCUACUUGUUACUCAUCAGCCAAGCUUAUGGUAAUAUAAGCUUGGGUUCAUCUCUCUAUGCCACUGAUGAAAACUCCACAUGGGCUUUGCCUUUCUGGUGAUUUUGCAUUUGGAUUCCGACCCUCUCCAAGUGAAGAGGACCUAUUCCUUCUUGCUAUCUGGACUGCAAAUGGAAGUUAACUGGUGCCCAGAGGAUCAAAAGUUUGGGCUUACCACCAAUGGACAGCUUGUUCUCUAGAGGCUAAGAUAUAUGGAAGACAAAGACUGGUAAUGUGAGCAGCGAACCAGUGCAUGGUGCCGUGCUUGGACAUGGAAAUUGUAUACCAGUAUGUGGGAGAGCUUCAAGCACCCAACUAAUACCAUAUUGCCAAUCCAGGGAUUGGUGUUGGAGCCUACUGUGCAGUUGCUAUUUUUGAGGACCUGAGGUUUGCAAAUGGAACUGGAAGCUGUUGGAGGAAAAGACUACCUCUUUCAAAUGGGAGGUUGGAUCAAACUGCUGUUUCCGGAAGUGCUCUAAUCAAGAUAUUGAAGUCCAGUGAACUAACUUCAGGCAGAUGCAAGCAAAAUAAAGCAAUUCUAAUACUCUCAGUCCUCUUAGGCCCCUCUGCGUUCUUCUUCUUCGUUUCUCUGGCUGCAAUUUCACUAGUUUUCUACCGCUUGAACCUCAAAAAUCUGCAGCUUUAUCACAGAAUCCUGAGUACAAGCGAUGGUAGAAGUCUUUGGCACUGUCUAUAAAGGGAUAUUACCAUCAGGUUCUGGAAAUUCUGUUGCUGAAAAGUUGGAGAAGGUGGUGGGAGAAGAUGAGAAAGAAUUCAAAGCAGAAGUGAAUGUGAUGGGCCAAACUCACCAUAAGAAUCAAGGACACUUGCUGCGUUACUGUUGUGAGGGUGAACACUGACUACUGGUUUUUUUUUGUGCACAAUGGCUCUUUAUCAAGCUUCCUUUCUGGAGGCGCCCGAGGACUUGUGUACCUACAUGAAGAAUGCAGUAUACAGAUCAUCCAUUGUGACAUAAAGCCCUCAGAACAUAACUCUUGGAUGAUUCUUUUACAGCCAAAGUUGCAAACUUCGACUGGGAAAGCUUCUGAUAAGCAACCAGACUAGAACACUCACAGGCAUCAGAGGGACUAUGGGGUAUAUUCAGACAACUCGGACACUUAUAAUAACACGUUAUGAAGCAUCAGCUCAAUGCCAGGGUUCAAUCUGCAAAGCAAGGGAUUCAUCAAUGUUUCCUUCAAACUAAAUAAUAAGGAACAGAAAUGGAUCAUUCUGCAUUUUCAGUGGUGUUUGUUAUAGCAUUUAUACAAGAACUCUAGGGGUUUCUAUGUAUAACUUCAUUCCUAUUUUGUAUAAUCCAAAUCUCUUCAAUCGAUUUAAUGUAUAAAUGAAUCCUAUUCAUUGUUUGGAGUAACAACAAAAUUCUGUAAGACUGGGAAAGUUUCAACACUGGAGAGAAAACAAAAUGACAAGACCAUAAAUUCUGGAAGAGGCCUUUGCUUUCUAACCAUUACCAUAAUUUUAGAGCUCAACCCGGAUGAGUAAAUUAUAUUUCAGAAUGUUCAGGAGACAAUUCUAAAGUGAUGAACCUUCUACUCACAGUUUCUUGUUCUUCUUGAACAGAGCAAUGAACAUCAAUAGUUCAGCACCCAGGAAUCUCCCCUUCCUCCAAUUCCUCCACUGGGAAAAGUCACCUUUCCAGUUAAGAAAAUCAUCAGGAUUAAUUUGAGCAAAACAUCAGAGUAUACAUCAAGAAAGCCUUGAUCAAAAUCAAAAUACAUCAACAAGUCAACAACUAUCAAUCAGUAAGGAAAAGGAAAAGGAAAAGGAAAUACCUUUGGAUAUUUACAAAUCAAAAAUUUGAGAGAGUCCAGCUGCUCUGUACAGAAAGGCUUGAGCUUAUUCCAUGGCCCAGGCUUUAGAUGGUUCUGAAUUACGGACGAGAGGGUUGAGUUUUCUUUCAUUCUGCAAUAAGAUUAAAAACAUCAAUGAAACACUAAAAGUUUGUAUAUAGAAGCCCUUCUAAAGAUAAGAAUUGGUAAGAGAGCUCACCCAUGGUCUAGUAAAACAACAUCUGUUAGAUAAGUAACCACCAUUCUAUUGUCCAGCUAAUGCAUUUAGAUCUAAGAUAACAUAUGGAAAAAUAGUCGAAAAUAGCUAAAGACAGUCCAAAAACUCAUUUGACUAAUAAUUUUUUAAAAACAGAAACAUAAAACCAGGAUGAAGAAUCCACCCCUCUCCUUGACACCACUUCAAUACCAAAUAAAAUGUUACAAUGACCAUUUAUGGUCUUAAGAGACAGUGGAUGUUGUUUGGGCUCAAGACAUAAGACAAGCCAAAAAUCAAGAAGAAAACAACAUCAAAAUUGGCACAGAAACAAGUACAUCAACUAUCUAAUAAAGAGAUUUAUGCAUGUAACAAAUGCAAAUGAAAUAUGAUACAAGAUUUUCAUGGAUUAAACAAAAAUAGAUGGCAAAAUAGAAGGAUAAGGUCACAGACAGGACAAUAUUAAAAGAAAUUAUUAUUUUUCCGACCUGAAAAUCGAGGCAUUCAGAACAGUACAAGUUUGUAAGUAGUCCAUGGAAACCAGGGAACAUAUGCAGAUGUUGUAUUCUAUUGCAUAAGGCAAACACUCAAUACUUACAAGCAUAAUCAUGCCCAGAAAGCCAUGAAUCCCUUUUUGUUUUGCUUUUUUACCUAUUCCCAUCUCUUAUGGCCAGAAGUGCCCAGGAUGAUAUAACCUCACCAAAUAAGUUAGAAACCAGCCCAUUCAGCAGGUUGAGUAGCCAGCUUGCCCUCAAUCUUCUUUGAGUCAACAAACAGCUGGGCAUUAUUGCCUCCAAUGGAGGGUCUGGAAAUAUUAGAGCCGGCAGCAGGGGUGGCUGUAAAACUCUCUGUUCCAAAACCCCAAGUUUCAGGGCCAGAAGUUCCUUCUGUGGCUGGUUUGUUGUGAUGGCCAUUUCGGGUCCUAACAGACUUGCUAUUGUUGUCUGGGCACCUGCCUCAGAGAAAGCCUGCCAAAGAUCAGAGUCUGGGCCAGGGGAAACGGAUUUUCUUUGCUGGAGUUCCCAGUCUGUUGCUUCAAUCUUUUCUCUGUGCUGUUAUGAGAAGAAAACCUAUCAGACACAUGAAUGGGUACAAAAAGGUAAACUUCAGGUUUUGGUUCUAUUGAAAAGCACAGGAAACUUCACAAGAGGCAAAUUAUACCCCAGAAAUUGACUUACCCAAAUGUCUACUUUCUCAUUUAUAGGUUUCCUCCUAAUCAAAUCCCCACAUCUAGGACAGGAAAAGGAAGAAACUGGGAGUCAACAUUUUUUCAACCAAAAGCACUAACUUACCAAAAAACAUAGUUUUCCAUUCAACCUCGGGAGCUGUAUGUGCAGGUGUACUGUACUUUCUGAUAUUGUCUUCUUCAAUGCCCAUUUCUUCAGGCUUCUUAAAGUGCUUAUGAUUGGUGGAGGUGCUUCCAAAAUUACACAACUUCCAUAAUCCAUUAGGGCCCAAUAGAAGAUUCUCAGCAUUUAUAUAAGAACUUUAGGGUUUAUACCAAUGAUCAUGUUACAGUAUAAAUCAUAGUGAACUGGUGGAAUUUGAUCAUUUAGCCAACCUCAUCAAAAAACUGUUUCACAGUUGAGGGGAUUGUUAACCUUCCCAUGGGCCAAGCAGCAAUUUCUGAAACUGAUCCUGAAAUCAAAAAUCCCACACAAGUAGAUAUUUAACAGAAGAGGAUCCGAAUCUCUUCAAUUGAUUAAUGUAUAAAUGAAAUAAUAAAAAAUUUUAGAGAUAAUUAUAGGGAGAUGAACCUUAUACCUCUGAGUUUCUUAGUCUUCUUGAACAGAGCAAUGAGCAUCAAGUGUUGAGCACCCAGGAAUCUCCCUUCCUCUACAGGGAAAAUCUGAACAAUCUAUCUUUCUUCAUAUUCCACUUCCUUGCAAAAGUCAAAACAUGAAGAAAAUAUCAUCAAAAUUGAGACAAAAAUAAGUGCAUCAACUGUCUCAAGAAGAGAUUUAUGCCUAUUGCUUACCUUUUGCAGAAGUCCACUUGGUUAGAGCACAUUUUACAUGGACGCCCAAUCACUGCAAGCUGCUGAACCAAAGGAGGUUCAAACAUCUAAAAAAUUUGACUAACUCAAGUAUCAUAAAAAUGCUUCACAUGAAUUCCAAAUGAUCUCAUAUCUAAAAAACAUUGGCAUAAAAUUAUUGUUGUUUACCUUACAUGUUUCUUCCAUGGUCAUAAUUGAAACUUUGUUUAUCAUAACAAAUCUUCUAUGCUCAUCCUGAUUACUUACAAUGAACACUGAAAUGAAAAGAAAAAAAAAACACAAAAAAUGACGAUUAGUUUGGUUUGAUAAAUUUAGCACACACAAUUCCCUUUUUCUUGUAUGAAAAAGGAAAGAGUAAAAAAAAAAAUGAAUUUAAUAAUUUUUUAAAACUAGCAAUUAUAAAACUAGUUUGGUUCUCAGAAAAUUUAUGGGAAAGCAGGGAAAAAAAAGUGUAAACUUUUUCUCUUGUUUGAUUGUUUAUGGGAAAAUUGAGGGAAAAACAAAUAUUUAUGAGGAAUCUAUUUAACACUUUUGAGGAACAAAAAAUGUUUUAGAUGUUGUCAAAUCGAUAAUUUAAAUGUAUUUAAUUCCAAUUAAAUAAGUUUAAUCAAACACAUGAAAUGAAAUUGUGAAUAAAAUUAUUUAAAAGCAUUGAAAUUCAUGUCAUUAAAGUUGUCCAUAAAAUUUGGUAUAUUAAAGCAAGAAAAAAACAAAGCAAUUUGAAUGACUUGCUAAUAAAGCAGCUAACUAGAAUAUGCCCUAGAGUUGUUCUAUGUAUAUAAGAAAUAAACAGAGAACACAAUAAAUAAAUAAAAAACCAGAAAAUAAAAUACAAACAAACGAAAAUAAACAGCGUUGUUCAAUGGUUAUAAAUGGUUAUUUUUGCAAACCACCAAAUCAAAACAGAGCAUGAAAACGUGUUCAAUAUUUGUUUCAGGCUUGAAGCAUCAAGAAAAAGAAAAUCUUAAAUCAAAUAAAUAGGACUAGCGAAUGAAUUGGAACUUGAAAGAAAAGUUCAAGUGCAAAAGAAUUACCUGACUCUAUAUUGGCGGAGUGGCACUUUGAUUAAUAUAGCACACCAUUGAUCAUUAUUUUUGGAAUGUGAGCUAUAUAACGCCAUUCUUCCCCUUUCUCAAAUUGACACCGUUUUUCCAGUAGAGGACACCCGUAGAUCCUCAGAAAAGAGAGGGAGUCUGAAAGUCUCUCUUUUGUCAAGUAUUUGAGCUUACGACAGAUCAUGAUCUCCAAUGUUUUAAGAGAGGUGAGGUGUUGAAGACCCACUUUUUUCAAGGAUUGGAGCAUUGGGCACUCAUGGAUCCACAAACUUUCAAGAGAGGUGAGGUGUUGAAGACCCGCUUCUGUCAAUGAUUGGAGCCUCGAGCAUUGACAAAUUACUAAUCGUUUUAGAGAGAUAAGGUGUUGAAGAACCGAUCCUGUCGAGAACUGGAGCUUUGGGCAGAAGUAGAUCCUUAAUUCUAAAAGAGAGGUGAGUUGUUGAAGACCCCCGCUGUCAAGAGACUUGAGAUUUGGAAGAUUCCAGAUUUGAAGAGAAGUCAGAGAAGAGGGCAGCAAACACUCUUUGGGAAAUAAUUCAAUGUCUUCACAUCCACCUUUGAUUAUGAAAUGAGUAAGAGAGGUCAGCCUUUGCAAACCCCACUCCACCUGGGGCGUGAGUUGGUUGCACUUCUUAAUUUCAAGUUCACGUAGGUUGGAAGGCAAACCCUCUCUCUGAAACAACAAUUCUGGACAAUCAUAUAAAUUCAAGUACUGUACAGAUGACUGUCUGUGUGCCAAUGACCUGAGCUUGGAGCACCUAUGAAUCGAACAAGACUUCAAGUUGAGAGCGCGUAAUUCGAUAGAUUCAAGAUCAGAGCAACCUCUUAGACGCAGGGAACAUAAAGAUGUGGGAUCACCCUCUGAAACCAAAAUCGAGAGCUUCUCAAGCCCAUUAAGACCAUUGAUUUCGAAAUCAGUCAACUUGGGGAAGAUGCCUAAUGAGAAGGAUAACGACAGAGAAUCAUCGAUAACACCACGUUCGAUGAUUAGACGUUCAAGGACUGGGAGAUGGCAUCUGAACAACUCAGGUACGAGAAACGCUAAUUUCGAGCAGUUAUAGAUUAACAGUGAUUUCAGUGUAGUGGGUAAACCAACUUUGUGCAGGGAUCUAGAAAAAAUACAAUCACAGAUUUUCAGAUCAUGAAUGUUGGUUUGCGAGAUUUCCUCCUCUAGCAGAGACUCCACAUAAUCACAUUUUCUAAUUGACAGCUGGUGUGGUGCCAUUGGAAGUUGACUCCACUGAGACACAUCUAAAAUUUCAAUUUCUGAAGUUUGAAGAGGUGUGAAGUCACAACCUGGCAUUUGCAACCGCAGUUUACCAAAAUCCACCAUCCUCAACUGACGAAUUGCAGGAACUGUGAGUGAAGCCAUAAGCAGCUGCGGACAUCCAUCAAUUUGAAGUUCCACCAAUGAAAGAAGCUGUUCUGGUAAUUUCCCAGUGAGUUUGGGACACUUUCGUAUAAAAAGCUUUUGGAGACGAGGGAAUUCUCCACAACAUAACCAUUUCUCCCAGUUCUUCAUAUCCUCAAAUGAUAGUGUUUCUAGGAAUUGAAAGGAAGCAUUCUCAUAUAACUCAUCACCCACACACUCUACUCCAUUCAUCCUUGAGAUUUGCAGAUAUUUAAGCUGGGUUAGCUGUCCAAGUGGUGGCAAUGUUGAGCAAUUGCCACAACCCCGAAGCUCAAGGGACACGAGAUUCAACACUGAAGGAUCUCCAAGCCAAUUUGGAAAUCCUUCACCAGGAUAGUUUGUGAUGGAGAGUUGUUUUAAAUUUGGAUGAGGUUGUAACUUGUUGAGUAUAUCAUGCGUUGUUGCACCACUUUGUGUAACACCACUGGUACCCCAACCAAAGAUUAACUCAUAAAGAUAACUUUUAUCCUUCAUAUUAGCCCUUAAUGCAUCAUUAACACUCACCACAUUCUCCAUGUUUGAAAUACAAAGUUUUCCUCGAAUCUCUGACAGCUCCCCCAAUUCUCCAAUUCUUAAUCCAUCGUUUUGGCCCACAAUAAAUUGAGUCAACCUUUGUAAACUUUUUAAUCGACCAAUUCCAUGACUUGACAUUUCUCUCAAUGAACCACAUCCAUCAAUAUCAAGAUAGCGCAAAUUAAUCAAUUUUCCCAUCUUUGAAGGCAAUUCAUCAAGUUUUGAACAAUUUCUCAGCAUCAUCGUUUGUAAAUUGCAUAAACAACAUGCUGAUUUAGGUAAUUUUUUAAUCCUCGUGGAAGACAAAUCCAAGUAACGCAAAUGUUUUAAAUUACCUAUCGAUUUAGGCAAAUCAGUUAUUGUAUAUGCACAUAAUGAUAACACGCGUAAACACCACAUUUUUGGUAAUAUAUCUUGCAAAACUCUUUUACUCAACUUAUACAAAGGAAGAUCAACCCAUGGCUUCACUCUUAAGAAUGUCCGAAGAGAUUUAGCUUUAGGGACAGCCUCAAAAUUCUUAAAUGCAACAAGCCUGGUAUCAUCACUAUUAAAGUACAAAAAGUGGCGAGCCUUCUCAGAUACUUCUGGUGGUAACUUAUCAUCAUCUUCCACUCGAGCACAAAAAUCUCCAGACACGUAUUGAGCCAAUUCAUGUAUUAGAUCAUGCAUUACAAAGCAUGAUCCUUCUAUUCCAAUAGAUUUUUGAAAGAAAGACUUGGCAAGAAGCUCAUCAAAAUAUGACUCACCGAUCUCUUCCAUUCUCCUUCCUUUGUUUUGUUGUGCAUGUAAAAGACCUUCUGCCAUCCAUAAUAAAAUCAGCUCCUCUUUGUUGAAUUGGUGGUCCUGGGGAAAAAUAGAACAAUAAGCAAAACAAUGCUUCAGAGGUAAAGAAAGAUGAUGGUAGCUUAAUAUCAAAGACGGAAGAAUUUCGGAGCCACGCUGCGGAUGCCAUAUUUCACUUCUCAACACAUCGUCCCAUUCCCUUUUUUCGUCCUUAGAAUACAAGAGACAGCCGAGUGCUUUCACAGCCAAAGGCAAUCCUUGGCACUUGUCCACAAUCUGUCUGCCUAUGCGUUGAAGCUCAAGGUAUGCGUUGGGGUCUCUAUCUUCAAAUGCAUGCUUUUUAAACAGGGACCAACUAUCUUCAGAGCUUAAUUCCCCAAGAUGAUGAGUAGGGACUGCUCGCAUGGUUGUUGCAACAGAUUGAUCACGACUGGUCACGACAAUCUUGCUUCCCUCUGCUGCGAGGAGUGGAGUUCGUAGAAUAUUCCAAACUUCACGAUCACUAAGCUCCAUAUAACCUUCAUCACGAGGCUUCAAAUUCCAGACGUCAUCAAGAACAAGCAGAAAUUUCUUGUUACGAAGUUGCUCUGUGAGUUGAAGCUGAAGCAAAUUUAGGUUGUCAGCGGAAGUAGGUGGAGAACCAAUUUCCUCAAGAAUUGUUUUGGUGAGUUUGAUAAGGAAAAACUCAGUGGAAACACAGACCCAUGCUUGCAAGUCGAAGUGUUUCUUCACUUCCUCAUUUUUAUAGAGACGCCGAGCAAGCGUGGUCUUGCCGCUGCCGCCCAUGCCCACUAUGGACAUCACCCCCAUUUUGUCGCCUGUUGUAUUGUCAGAACGCAACCACUCCACCAUCUCCUUCUGAAUUCCAUCCCUGCCGACAAAAAUGGAGUCAUGCUCCAAAGAAGUGGUUAUUGGUGAUCUUGGUCUUGGUGACCGUUUCUCGCCCCCACCUUCUGCCAGCCCCAACCCAACUUUUUCUAGUGCGAUUUUUUCCAGUUGAACAAUCAUGCCCCUGACCCUGGACUCCAUGCUUUUGAUAGCAAAUGGGGCCUUCACAGAAGCAGAGAACUUCUUCCAUUUCCACGCCUUAAGAGUUCCGUCGGUAACGAUCUCGUCCAGCAGGUCUUCCGCACCAUACACAGCAUCCUUGACAGGGACGAGCCACUCUUUGACAUUUGGGUUCGAAAAUUGCUUCACCUCCGCAUCAUCGAGCACAUUGUGAACAACCACGAGUUUCCUCUUCAACUCGUUGAGGAGUUCAUCGCUAAGGCUCCGUCGCCGAAUGAAGUUUAUGAGCUCUGGAGAAGCCAACCUUUCGAAUAGAACUUGAAGCGAAGUUGAGAGGAGGGCGUCCGCCAUAUCUGUGUCGACUGUUGCUUUGCAAUAGGAAUUCAGAGGAUUGGUUUCUGUUACCGCGAUACCACCAAACUGCAAAAGACUGGGUUUGGAUUACCACACUGCAGAAUGCUUGAAGGAAUCAUUAUUGGUGGUGGACCCAGCUGCCAGAUAUUGGUGGUGGACCCAGCUACACUGCAGAAUGCUUGAAGUUAUUGGUGGUGACCCAGCUGCCAAUAUUUGUCAAACACCAUAGUGGUGAGAAAAAGAACAGGAAAAGCGAGUGGGAGGUAGAUGCGCUUUCCCCAAGGAAAGCAGAAUCAACAACAGCAUUCGGUAUUUUUCUUUUUCAUCUACGCAUUUCUUCUUUCUUUCUUCUAGUAUUAUUAUUAGUAGACAUAUACACACAAAUAUUUGUUUAUAACAUUUUCAUUCUUAAUAUUAUAAAAUUUAUUAUUAAUAAUAUUUAUACUAAUAUUAUUUUUUAAUAAUUAUAUUAGUAUCAGGAUUUUAUAAUUAGUAUCCUUACUUUUAUUGCUUAUAAUAAUAAUUAUUAUUAUUAUAUUAUGUUAUUAUUAAAAUUUAUUAGUAUUUUCACAUAAACAAUGAUAUAUGCAUAAGACAUAUUAAAAUUUUGAAUAUUAUGGUUAUUAUUAUUUAAUAAUAAUAUUAUUAUUUGAUUCAAAAAAAGUUUAUAAUAUAAUAAUAACAAAAAUAAUUUUUUUAAUAAAAUAAAUUAUAAAAAUAUAAUAAUUUUAUUAUUUAUAAAAUACAUUUAUUUUAAUGCAAUUAAAAAAAUUAAAAUAAUUUUAAAAAAUUUAAAAAUUUUCAAAAAAAAGUUAAAUGGGACGGGAUUAGGAUGGGAUCGAUCCAUCCCAAUGUCGUCCCGUUGUCAUCCCUAACUCAUCUUGUGAUAAUUAAGGCCAUUUUUUAUCAUUGUUUUUUUAAAAUGGUCUUUUAUCCUUAAUAUAUAUAUAUAUAAUAAUUAGAAAUAAAACAUAAUUUUUGUUUUUAAAAAUAAAAAAUAAGGCAUUUUUAGAUCAUAUCCUUUUAGUUACUUUUAUUUGUUUUUAAAAAGUAAUUAUAUAAAUAUAAAAAAUAAAAUAAUUUAAAUAAAAUUUAUUUUUAAAAUAUAGAAAAUUAGUUAAUAACACUUUAUCUUCUCAAGCUCUUGUUUUAUAAAAUAUCAUAAAAUAAUUUUCAAAAACUUUUUUUUUUCACAAUUUUGACAAACAAAACGUGUUGCAAUAAUGCACUUAAAUUCAAUGAACCUAAAAGCCAAAUGUGCAGUGUUGACUUUUCAACAGAGAGUUCACACAUGCCCAUUUUUUUAAUUAAAGCACUAUUGAUAUAAAAUAUAUAUUUAAAUAAAAAUUAGACUUUUAAAAAAAUUAAAAUAUAUUUUUAAAAUUAAAAUAUAUUUUUAAAAUGUUAAAAAAAUAUUUACAAUAUUUCCUUAAAAAAAACAUCUUCCAAAAACAUUUCUUUAAAAAAUACUUCCACCGAUAACAAUUUAGACACACUUGUGAUUUAAUAGUUAAAUAUUCUUUCCAACAGGAAUUCAACUAUCAGUUUGUAUUACCACGAUACCACCAAACUGCAAAAGACUAAUUUUGGAUUACCAAAAUGCAGAAGAGCUGAAGGAAUCAUUGAUGGUGGACGACCCAGAUGUCCACAUUAUUUGUCAGACACCAUAAUUGAGUGAUGAGGAAAUGAAAGAAAAGAAAAUAAAAAACAAAAAAGGUGAUGCCAAACAUGGUCUUAUAAGGUGGGUGGAGCGAAAGCAACAAAGGAAACUAGCAGGAUUUUUCAUUGCUAUUCCAUACCUUAAAGGACAAAUUUUGAAUUACCAAAAUACAAAAGACUUGAAGGAAUCAUUGAUGGUGGUGGACCAGAUGUCCACAUUAUUUGCCAAACACCAUAAUUGAGUGAUGACAAAACAAAAGAAAAAGCAAAAAAGGUGAUGCCAACAUGGUCUUGUAAGGUGGGUGGAGCAAAAGCAACAAAACAAACUAGUAGGAUUUUUUUAUUGCUAUUCCAUAUCUCAAAUGACUAAUUUUGAAUUACCAAAAUAUAGAAGACAUGAAGGAAUCAUUGAUGGUGGUGGACCAAGAUGUUCACAUUAUUUGCCAAACACCAUAAUUGAGUGAUGAGAAAAUGAAAAACAAAAAAGGUGAUGACAAACAUGGUCUUGUAAGGUGGGUGGAGCGAAAGCAACAAAGUAAACUAGCAAGACUUUUCGUUGCUAUUCCAUACUUCAAAGGAUUGAUUUUGAAUCAUCAAAAUACAGAAUACUUGAUGGAAUCAUUGAUGGUGGUGGACCCCGAUGUCCAUAUUAUUUGCCAAACACCAUAAUUGAGUGAUGAGAAAAUGAAAAAAAAAAAAAAGUUAAGAAAAAACAAAGAAGUGAUGCCAAACAUGGUGUCGUGAGGUGGGUGGAGCAAAAACAACAAAACAAACUAGUAGGAUUUUUUGUUGUUAUUCCAUACUGAGAAAAUAAAGGGCUAUUCUAAAUAGAUAAAAACACCCAAGAGAGGAGGUGAAUAGAAGUUAAAAAAUUUCUUUUUAAACACAAUAAAAUUAAGCAUAAGAAGUACAAAUAUAAAGAAGUAAGGUUAUAGAAAGUAAACUCAAAUUUAUAGUGGUUCGACACUUCCUUACUUACAUCCACUCUCCUCAAGCUCCUAAUCGAGUGAGGGUUCCACUUAUACUUGAAGUUUCAACCAAACUUCUAAUCACUUUUUACACUUGGAUUCCAUCUCCAAUGGACUCUUACACAAUCUUUUCAAGUCUUUACUCACUUGAAGGUUUUAACACUCAAUUAACAAGUUUGAAUCUCUCAACCUAGCUCAACAAUGACUCAAAUACAACUCAAGGCUAGGAUGAAUCACUAAGGUGCACUAAAGAAUAUGCAAAUGAAAAUUUAAUGCACUAAUAAAAUAAUGAGAGCUUUUAUGGCAAUAAUAAGUAGGUAAACAAAUAAAUGCAAGUGUUCUCUUACUCAUAAAUGAGGUAGAGCUCUCAAUUUAUAGGUUUCUAACCUCAGGAGCUAAAAAGCCAAAAAACAGUCUCAACUGGUUGAACUGGGGGUUGACUGGUUCAUUAGCCGUUGGAACAUUAAAUGCUUGGCAGGUGACCGUUACCCUCGACCAAACCUUAACUGAGAAGGCAAAUCCAUCAACCAGGAAAGAAAGGCUACUAGAAGAGAGAGAAUGUUUUUCACAUCUCUCAACCGGACCUUGACAUAGAAAGAGUAAUCGGUAGACCGAUACCUUAGCUGAUUGAGCCGAUUGGCCAGUGCCUCGACUAGUUCACCAUUUUUAGUCUGAAAACCUAUCUUUUUCUGGUCUUUUUGCUUCUAGCACUUAGGUAAGGACUUUAGAUAAAAUAAUAUGUCAAUUUUGAAAUGUUUUGCCUAAGGUUCAUUUGAUAGAACUCGGAUUUUGAUGGAAAUGUAACUUUAAUGCAUAAACCGAGUUUUAAAGAUGUAUGAAAUGAUAUGAAUACCCUAAGUACACUCAUGCAUUCAUCUUACGUAUGUUUCCUAUGAUUAAAAGGUCGUUCAAAAGUCUUGAUCUUGCAUUCAUUAGGUCCUUUAAUGAAUUUCCAAAUUAACACCUGAAAUUCUUUAUAAUUCAAAUCAAUUAGUAACUUAACCAUGAUUUGUUAUAAUCAAAACAUGAUUAGGAGAAUCAUUGGGCUAACACAUACCUCAAAGGACUAAUUUUGAAUUACCAAAAUAUAGAAGACUUGAAGGAAUCACUAAUCUUUUUAUAAUUUAGAAAAAUAAGUAAAACGAGUUUGAAGAAAUGUAUAAAAAUAAUUUAUUAAAUUUAAAUUUAUUUCUUAUUUUCCUUCAUUUUUUCUUUUUUUCUACUUUUUCUUUCUAUUUUCUUUCCUUCUCGUUUUCCCUCAAAUUUUCCAAGAGCCAAAUAUAGCUUAAAGGUUUAGAAUCUUAUGCACAAGACUUUCAAUUUUUUUUACAAUAUUAUUUUAUUAGUUAAGAAUUAAAAUUUAAUGUACCAUAUCUAACACUAACAAAAAAAUUUAUAACAACCAAUCUUAUCUUUUAAGAAUAUAUUGUUUAAAUGAGAUUAAAAAUUAAAAAUAAAUUUUAAUUCAUUUAACAACUAAAUUAAAAUGAAAUUUAUAUAUAUAUAUCAUAAAUUUAUACAAUUUUGAAUCAUUUUAUAUGGAGGAUUGAGAAUGGAGAGAUUGAAGAAUUGUUUGGUGACGAGGAGAUUGAUCGAAGAUUUUAUAGUCUUAAGGUUCUAUGGGAUGAAAUUUUUUGUAAAGAGUUUAAAUUUUUGUAAAAAAUAAAAUUAGUUUUAUGUUAUUUGAUUUCAUGGAAAUACAAAGUUUUAAUUCAAAGAUUAUGUUUUAAAAAUAUUAUUUUUAAAAUAUAUUUAGUAAAGAUUUAUAAAAAUUUAAAAUUAAAAUUAGUUAAUCUAUCAACUAAAUUAAAAUAAGAUUUAUAUAUUAUUUUUAUAGAUUUACAUGUGUAAAAUCUUUAAAAUGCCUCAACUUAAAAUAUCCUUACAAAAUUUCAUUAAUCUACUAGCAAUCUGCAUAUUGUCUCUACAUAGAGUCAAUUUGCAUUAGGAUGAAUACCAUCAUAAUAAUAAUUACGCUCCACAUAUGAUGUAUCUUAACAUCCACUUGGAGGUUAAAAAAUAAUUAAAGUAAGGGAAACUAAUAUAUUUAAAAUUUAAAAAUCAUUAUGAAGAUUUGGACAAUAAUUCAAGUAGGCAUCUUUGAAAUUUGGCUUCCAAAUCCCUUUGUCAAUAUACACCACCCUAUGACAAUUAAAUAAAUUAAAAGAAGGAAAAAAAAUGUUAAAGGAAUGACAAAACAUAGGGAACAAUUAUAUUUAAGGAGUGGAUGGAGUUGAUAAUGACUAAAGGGUACAAAUCUUGCAUAAUUGAACUAAAAAGGUAGAAAAGGUUUGUAGAUUGUUGUGGAAGAUAUAAACCCACUUUGUGAGUCAAAAAUGCUCAAAAUACCCUUAAGGGUGUUUUUUAAAAAAGGACAAUUAAGUACUCAUGAUAAUUAAUAUAUUAAGAUUUCAAGAAAAAUUAAUAAUAAAUAAAAUCUUUUUCUAAAUCUAUUUAACAAUCAUAUAGUUUUUAUUUUAUUUUAUUUUUUCAAGUGGCAACUAUUAUCUUAAUUUAUUUUUCAUUUUAAGGUUCAAUUAUUAUUAUUCUUUAUUUUGAAAUUUAAUUAAAUGAAACUGUAUAAGACAUGUUUAUAUUAAUUAGCUAAAAAGGAUAGAUUUUUUAGCAAUAUGAUUAAAAUAAAUAAAAACAAGGAAUUUGAUUUUCUUUAUAAAAUAGAUUAGGAAAAGUAUAUUUCGAUACAUUCGUAUGAAAAAAAAAUUCAUAAAAUAGGAACUCAAGUUUAUAAAAUACAAAUUUUAAGCAUUCAUCUAAAAAUAAUUAUCAUUUCAUGCAUUUUUUUUGUCAAAUAUAUUAUAUUUGAUAAUUUAGGUAUUAUAUUUUAAUAAUAUAAGUAGUACCUUUGACCCCCAUAAAACUUGAAUUAUUUUAAAUAGUUUCUAUUAUAUAAUUAUUUAACCAUUUGAUAUAAAUAUUAAAUAAUAAAAAAUAUAUCAUUUUUUAAAGAAUUUUAAUUAUAUUUGACUUUCUUUUGUAUUUUCUAUGGUGUAAUUCACAUAUGAGAAAAUCAUUUUCUUUAACAUUUUUUUUUCUUUCCUUAAUAAUUUUCGAGAACCAAACAAGGCUUGUAGGUUUGAAUUAUAGGGUAUAGAUGCCAAAAAUACCAGAAUGAGUUUGGGUUUUCAUGCUAAAUGUCUUUAUUAUUAUUUGGUAGCACUUUUCCAAAAUUGUUCCAUUCCCAAAACCACUUAAUUUGCUUAAAUAUUUUUACCUCACGAUAUCAUAACAUUAUAAUGGAAUAGAUUUUGUUGGUGUUCAAAUCAUGUCAACUCAAUUUCCAAACCAUUCGGAUUGUCAUUUGGUGAAAAAUAGAAAGAAAUUUUACUUUAUUGAAAAGCAUUUCAUUUUGAUUUGAAUAUGCUGCAAUGAAAUAGUUACUAAACCAUGGGGUAGCAGAAGAAGUAAUCGAGAAAAUGAAGAAGGAUGUUCAAGAAUUCUUUAUGCUGCCAUUGGAGAAGUUUUCAAGAUUUCUCCUGAGUAGAAAACUUAAUGGUAAGAGUACAAUAAGUCAUAUGAAAUUGGAGAACUGAAAGAGCAUAAGAACCAUGUUUUAUUAAAAGACCUGUGAAAGUUUAAUCAGUCAUGGAACUACUAAGAGGGGAUGAAUUAACAGUUUUCUUAAAUUUUGUCCAAAGUUAUGAAUUUUUAUUUUUUAUAAUUUUUUUUUACUUAAAUUGAAACUUAUUAAUCAAGGUAAGAUUUCAGCCACAUCGAGAAACAAUUUACGUGAAAAGGGACUGAUAAAAUCUUGAGUUUACAGAUGUAAAAACCAUAAGGCCAAAGACUGUAGAACUCCAACCCACUGAAUCAAGAAUAGAAACACAAAUUUAUCUACCAACCUACACUAAUCUCAUAUCUACAAUGCAACACCAUCGUACUCUUAAGUGACUUGAAAGGAUGUGAAUAUUUCUCACAAACUUCAUAAUGAAAUUCAAAUUAGCUCUGAGAGUUUUGGGUUAGGCACAAAGAGUAAUAAUGCAUAGCUUUUGUGUGUGAGUUUUUAAGUGAACUUAAGACUCAAUUUAAAGCAUGUAUUUUACUAAAAAUAAAAAAAUAAAUUUAAGAAACUUCAAGAAUUUUGGAAAGAUAAAUUUUAAAAAAAAUUCAAAGAGAGUCAGAAAAUGUUUCCUUUUUAAAUUCUCAAUUUAAUUUAUUUUCAAAUUUAUUAAGAGUUUAAGAAAUAUUUUCUUUUUAAAUUAUCAAUUUAAAACUCUCUUUUAAAUUAAUUUUAUUAUUAAUUUUCAUGCAAGUCUACUCUAUACAUUUUACAUCGUUAUUCUCAAUUAACUCAACAAUAUUAGAGUGUAACAUCCCCAAUUGAUUUUGCACCAACCUUAAGUCUUCAAAGACAAUGAUUGAGGCAUUUCUUCUCCUAUUUUCUCCGAUGUAGAAAAAAAACUUGAAUAAGGUUAAAGCUGGUCUAUAGCAAAAAGUCUUAAUUUGAGUUAGCCUCUUUUUUUUUUUCCAAAUGAUAUGCAGGUCCAUCUAGCCUUCAACUCAAAUUUUUUAUUCAAAAAUCACAUGUGGAUAUGUGAACAAGUAAAAGUUGAGUUUUACCUAACAAAUCAUUUUGAAAAUUAGGAAAUUUAAAAGGUAUUAGUUUGUUAAACUCACCACCCCUGUCUAUUCUACAAAACAAGAAGAUUAGCAAAGAAAAAGUAUUCAUAUUUGUACUACAAAAUAAAAAGAUUAGCAAAGAGAGAAAUUGUACCCAUGAGUGCAGAGUUUUGGGUUAAAACAACCCUUUUGAUGGGAAAAAUAUUAAAUUUAACCACUUUGUCAAACUAAUGUGUAAAAUGAUCCUUUUAUUAUCACAUAGGAGUCAUAUCACUAAUAUAUAUAUAUAUAUAUAUAUAUAUAUUUAAUUUAAGUUGAAGCCUCAAUUGCCAAUUAAGGCUUCAAUUAUCAAUUAUGACUUUAUUUUUAACCCGAAACCUUACUUGCCAAUUGAGGUUUCAACUAAAAAAAGAAACCUCAAUCGUCAACUAAGACUUAAUUUUUUAAUUGAAGCCUCAAUUGACAAUUGCGGUUUUAUUUUAAAACUGAAAUCUCAAUUGUCAAUUGAGGCUUUACUUUUGUGGAAGGAUUAUGUGACACUCACGUUACUAGAAAAAAGCCAUACUGAAUAUAAGUUUCAAAAGUGGCUUAAAAGGUAUAAAUUUUAUGAUCAAAGAUGCCAUUUUGACCCAAAAUCCCAUGGGUGCAUGAGACUCUAGUUAAUCAUAGAUUUCAUAGAUAAAAAUCAGAGUUAGGAUGAUUCAACCCCUAAGCGUCAAGAAUUCUUUAACAUAAUGUUAGAACAUUUUCCAAUUUAAAUUCGAGAGUUGACUUUAUUUGAAUGUGCUUUUGAUUUUUUUUUUUAAAUAAGCUUCAGUGUUUUUUUUAAAAAGAAAUAAAAAUAAAUAAAAAUAGGAGCUUCUAUAUAGAAAGUAAAAAUUUUAUCCAACAAAUAUAAGGCUCACCUUAUAUCCUUAUAAAAUAAAAAAUUUUAAAUUUUUUAAUACCUCAAAAUUUUUAAUCAAUAUUUAAAUAUCAUUAUAUUUUCAAUAUGAUUCCUUUAAAAGUUAAAAUUACUUAUAUUUUUUAUUUUCAAAAAAAAAAUAUAUAUAUAUAAGUAAUUUUAUGUUUUUUAAUUAUUAAGAUGGAUGAAAUAAUCCCAAAUUUGCAAAAAUAACUUCUUCUAUGUUUGAAUUUGAAAAAUAACUCAUUUCCAACAUAAAUACUCUUCAAUAUUUGGAUUAUUUUAAUAUAAAUUUUAGAAGAAAGUGUUAUUUUGACAGGAAAACAUGAAAGACAUUUUUGUUAAAAAUUGAUCUUUUUUUAAGGCUAAAAUAUAUAUAGGUUUAUAUUUACAAAUUUGAGACUAUUUCGUCCUCUUAAUCAAAUAACUUAAAAAAGAAAAGAGUUAAUUCCACAAGUGGGUUUAAAAUACUCACAAAAUUGCAAUAUAUAUAUAUAUAUAUAUAUAUAUAUAUAUAUAUAUAUAUAUAUAUAUAUAUAUAUAUAUGAAAUUACAAAUUUACCCUCGUGUGUUGAGCACAUGACACUUCCAUUCAUUAAAGCUAACAUUGUUAAAUAACAAAUGUACAUUGCAACUAUUUAAGAAGUAUGAAGGGCACAUUGCUUGAUUUUAGUACAUGGUGAGAAACUUGUUGAACAAGUUAUGUGUAAAGUUUUAUGGUUCAUGUAUGAUAGAAAAUACAGAUCUACUACAACACUGGAUUUGCAAUUUGGGUUAAUAUUUAAAGAAAAGACCAUAGGACAAAAAGAAUUAAACUUUUGGUGGAAAACAAUAAAGAAAGGACUACAUGGAAAAAGGGAAGAGAUCAUUAUAAAGGAAGAUUAUUGAAUAGAAAUAAUUCCAAGAACCUAAGGCAAGACAUAGAGUAUCACUACUACUAUCACAAAAAGGGGUAUAUCAUAAAAUUUAUGAAAUUUUGAAAAAGACCUAAAAAAUGAAGAAAAAAAAAAACAAAUCAAAGAAGCCUACAAGUGUAACUAGUGUUCUUAAAGUUGCGAAAUGAAGGUAAUAAAUCAAAAGUAGAUUUGUUAAUAGUUUUUAAAAUGCUUGAAUUAGGAAUUGUCUACUUGUACCAUACAAGCCCUUGUAGAGACUGGUUUGACAUGUAAAUUGUUUGUAAAAUCAUUUUAAUGGGCAAUAAUGCACCAAGUUGCUCCACGAGAAGGGGAGGGGUUUGUGAAACCAUCACUUGUCAUGACAUACAUCGUCGGGUAAUCACGGAUGAGGGCAUCCACGGGAGGCCAAUGUCUACCCUCGCUCCACACCCCUCUAGUACAAGGCUCUAGGAGGGAGAGAGGCAACAAGUGUGUGACACCAAGGUAAAUAUGCUUGACCUUAUGGCUUUGGGAGCAACUUGCAUUGAAAGACUUGAUGAUUCACAAGAUUCUACAAUUCAUACAAAGUAUUGCAUUUUGCGACGUUCUUCAUCAAUAAGAGAGCCUAGAUAUCCAUUGUCAAGAAUUCUUUAUGUAUGAAAACAAAGGCGCCUAACCGACAUGCCCAAGAUCAAGGCAACUGGAGCGUGUUGCUUCGCCCAAGUUACUUAGCGCGUUUUGUGCCAAAGUUUGUUGUUCGCUCAAGAGGGCUUUUGUGAAUCUUUGUAAUAAAGGGAUAAUACAGAGUGGGCCGUAAUUUAGCAUCUUACACGCUUAGUUUCUUCCAUUGGUGGCAUAUAUUAUUUUGUCUGUCAUUGGUGAUUAUUUAAUAAAACUAUGAGAGUAUUUCAUGAAAUAUAAAUAAGAGGUUUUUAGGAUAUUUAAUCGAUGGUAAACAAAAGUUGAAAACUAAGUAGGGAGGAAGAUAAAAUAUUUUAGAUUUGAUAGUGGACUUGAGCAUUAGAACAAGAAGUUCACAAAGUAUUGCGAGAAUUCUUAUAUUACUUAACAUCACAUGUAAAGAAAUUACAAAGCAAAAUGGAGUGGUUGAAAAGAUGAAUAGAACACCAUUGGAAUGACUAGGUGGCUAAGAUUAACCAUUGGGUUACUUAAGAAUUUAAGGGCUAAAGCUAUCAACAUAACUUAUCAUGUAAUUACUUAGUUGUCAAGUUUUACAAUUAUUUUCAAUAUUCCAAAAGAAGUGUCAAGUAAAUCAAUUGACUUUUCAUCUAUUGAAAUAUUUGAUUGUUGCACUUAUAUUCAUAUAUAGGUGAAAAAAAAAUUCAAUCCAAAAUAAAAAAGGUAUAUAUUCCUUGGGUUUGAAAAAAGGAUUGAUUAAAGACUAUAGACUUUGGGAUCCAACAAUUAAAGAAAAAAAAGUGGUGAGCAGAGAUGAAUUCAAUGAAAAACAUAUGUUAAAGAAAGAUCAAGGACAAAUGAAAUUGGUAUUGAAAAAAAAUUCAACUACAUGACCAAUCAUCGAGAUGAAAUUUGAGAAAAAUGUCAUUAAAUAUGAAAUCCCUCCUAAUUGAUGUCCCUAUUAGAACUUUAUAUGGGCAUCUUUCUCUAUUGCUCUAAAGAAUCAUCGAAUUGGGUAAGGACAUCAAUUUUAAGAUUUUAAUUUUUUUUCAUUAUUUAUUGGAAUAGGAGAUCUUUAAAUUUUUUUGGGGCUCAAUUAGGAAGGAUGAUAGUUAUCAAUGUGUUGGUGCUAUGUCAAAUGAGAAUCCAAUGCACAUGUUGACUAAAGUUGUUCUUAAGGAUAAGUUCAAGCAUUGGUUGAAUGUCAUUAAUUUUUCAUUUUGUAGAACAUGGAAGGUCAAUUUUAUCGAAGAGCCAGGUCAAUCAACUUCUAUUAGGACUUCCAUUGAUUCUUGAUUUGACUAGAGGGACUCCUAGCAGUAAAUUUGUAUGAAGGGGCCCUACGGAGAUGCAAGAGCUGCCAAUCGGAUCGACCAAUAAAUGAUAGGCCCAUGCAGAGAUGUCCCUGAAAUAGGGGAUUGGUUGAUUGGAAAGCUUAGGCAGAGUAUAAAGGAGAACAAUUUAGCAUUUUGGGAAAAGCACAUAUGAAGAUGUUUACAAGUUUGGAAAUUUGAGUUAAAGAAGAGAUGGUCUAAAAAUGUUUCAAAUUUCAAUUUUAUGUUUUUCUAAGUUUGAUAUAUCCUAUUUGGAUAUUUGGGAAGUCUUCUCUUGUUACAUAAGGUAGUCCUAUGAUGAGAUUUGUUAUGAAAAUAGGUUCUUCCUCGUGUGAAAUAUUCCUAUGAAAUUAAGAAGGAAUAUAGGAAGAGUUUUUAUUGAAAUUAUGAAUCUUUUUUUUAUGUAAUUAGAACUAAAAUAUGAGAGUUUUAGAAUUGUAAUUACACCUUUGAAUAUAAAUAAUUGAUAAUAGUGAAUUAAUUUACCUUCUCCCUCUAGAUGUAGGUAAAUGCUAAAUUAUGUUAAAUCUUGUAUUCUCAUAUGAUUUUUUUUUUCAUUUAUUUUUCAUUUUCUUGCCCAUUUCUAACUUGCUACUACAUAAUAACAGGUGGUAUCAGGCUUUUUGUGUUUGCACAACAAAUGGUCUCAGUUUUUCCAGCACCACAAAAAUGAUAUUUUACUUAAUUGCUCCUCAGUGGAAAAGUUGGAAAGAAAAAUUAAAUCAUCGACUACACCUUUUUUUUUUUUUCCAAAACUUUUCUUGUCUUUGUGCAAGAAAAUUAGUAUAUUUUCUCUUUAGUAUUUGUUUCUCAUUUAUAUAUAUAUAUAUAUAUAUAUUCAAAUGGAACCUUAAUCAUCUUUUAUAUGAAGUAUAAAAGAAUUAGAAAAUAUUCAAAUUUUAAAUGAUUUUUAUUAUACUUUGUCCACUUCCUAUUUCAUAUAUCAAAUUACAAUAGAAUUUAAAAUUCUUUUAUAAGUUUUUUCUCCCUUUGCUACCACAUAAACGCAAAGACAGUAUGUGAGUUAAAUACCUUAAAAGAAAAAGAAAUUAAAAUGUGAUACAAAACAAAAGUAACCUCUUUAAAUUCAAGGAAACAAAACACUAAACUUUUUCAUGUAUUUUAUUCCAUUUAUAAAUGCAACAUGACAAAAAUAGACAAAAAUAUAAAUGGAAACCCUUUGGGUCCUUUAUUUUAUAUUUUAUCAACUUCAACCAAUUCUAUUUCUAUAGCACAACCGAUAUUAUAAAGUUCAAUGAGUAUAUAAUAUAUAAAGAUACUAAUCAAUACGAAUUAUUCUUUCUUUCAAAUGGCUACUUGUAUUAAAAAUUAAAUGUAAUUCCUCCUAAACAAUAAAAUAUGUUGACACGAUUUCAAUGAAUAUACAGUACAUAAAGAUAUGACCAAUUAGUACGAAUUAUUCUUUCUUUUAAAUAGCUACUUAUACUAAAAUAUAAGUAAACAUAAUUCCUCCUAGAUAAUAAAAUAUGUUGACACAAGGAGGAAUAUAUUUACUAAUUAUAUCAUUUGCAAUAGCCUCAAUCUCGUGACGUUCUUCGAACCAACCAUAGACUUUAUUGAGAUAGGUUAACCAAGGGAGCUUCCACUCUCAUAACUCGUAUAUGAAAAUUUCAUCUUGUACAACUCAAAUAGAAACCCAUAAAUACCAGUUGAAACCAAAAUGUAAUAAAUAAAUAAAAACAUAUUUCAAUGGAUCCAAUUAGUAUUUUUCUGAUCUCGGAUAAACAAACAAAUUUUUCUUCAUUUUGUUUUUUUUUCCAUUAAUCUUUGUAAGUAAAUUAUAUUUUAAUUUAACAAAGCACUAAACUUUACUUUAAUUUUCAUGCAGGAUCAACUAGCUUAUCAUAAUAAAAUUUAUCAAUAUAGCUGAGCAGAGAUUUGAUGUAAUAAUACCAUACAAAAUUCAAGUAAAAUUAAAUUAAUCAAAUAGGACACUACGGUCAUAUUUGGAUACAUAUUCUAUUUUUUAUUUUUAAAAUUAAAAUUUUGAUAUAAAAUAUGACAACCCUUUGUAUAAAAAAUAAAAAUUUAUCCUAUAAUCUUAAAACUACUUUUCAAUAUUAAAAAAAAAUGAGGACGUGUCCUAAAAUUUUAAACAAAUUUAAAAAUAUUUUUAAAUACCAAGAUAUCCACUUUUUUCUUUUUUAAUAAAAAUUCCUAUAUUUGAUAUAAAACUCUAUUUUAAAAAAUGAAAAAUAAAAAAUGUAUCCAAACAUAAGCAAAAUUGUUAGAUUUCAUUGUGAGAUUUCUUAGAUUCUACAAUUCAUAGUGAAAUGAAGACGAGAGAUAACUGACUGAAUUAUGAAAAAAAAAAUUAACAUUGAUGAGAUUCAAAAAUGCUAGUUAAUGAAAGAGUUUCUCCGCCAGGAUGACUAAGAAAAAUGCUGAAAAAUGUGUCAUGCCCAAAGCAAUGUUACAAUGAAGAAUAGAAUGAGAGCUAACCCGAAACAAAAUCCGACAAUCGCCAUGAAAGCCUGGAUGCAGAGGAAAUGUAACUAGAGACAUGUAAGGAAUCAUUAAGCAAGUGAGAACAAUAUCAAAAUCUCAUGUACGACUUACUUACCUUUCCCUGAGAUUCAAACUUGAAUUUUACUGUAAACCAUGACAAUCCUCUAUCUACAAUAGGUGCAAGUGCAAGGGCCCUGCAUGAGAAGCACCUCUACAAAAAUCACAGAAAACCCAAAGGAAAAAAAAAAAAAAAGAGUAAAUAAAUAGAAACUAGUCUAUCAGAAACCAGGAGGCUGCAACAAAUAAUCUCCAAAUGUCAGAUUUAAUAUUUAUUUACAAAUGCCACUAAAAGGCCUUUUCAUCAGAGAAAUCUAGAAUAAAAAAGGAUAAGGAGCCAUUUGGAUUACAGAGGUCAAAGAUUGGGUUGGAUGGGAGCAAGUUUAACCUCCUCAGUGAAAAUGAAAAUGCAAGGCCCAUCAUCAACGCUAGGUUCAAAAAUUGACACCAUUUCUUGAAGACUUUCUUUUUUCAUUCUUCAAUUGUCAUUUUGAUUCAAAGAAGCAGCAGCAUGAUAGACUAAACAAUCAUCAUAAACCCAGUUGCAAGUUAUAAGGAUAAGAAAGAAAAUGAACAGAAAACAUAUAUGAGAGAACUGAUAGGCCAAAAAAAUCAUUGUUGAAGGAAUCGAGCAUAAAUCUCUGAACAAAAUUUAGCUGAAAUUCACUGAUUUUGGGUUAUUUUGUGAUAAGAGCAUUGCAAUAUCCCAAUAAACUGUUACGCUAACUAAAGAUUUAAAACAGAAUUUAGCUGCUUACCCUCCAGCUCUGACAAGUUUAGUGACCUGGCUGCCUGCCCACACCAUAGCCAUGAUUUUGACAAAUCUGCCAAUUGGAUUCCAUGUCAAGAUAUUUUGAAAAACUUGUGCAAAAAGAAACUUUUUGGAAUAAGUUUUUACCUUUCAACUGCCGCCAAAUAACCCAUCCUUCCUGGUGCUGGAGCAAUAUAAAACCUAGAAGCAGCAUAGUGAAUUCAGAGUUAUACUGGUUAUUUGAAAUCUACUCUGAACACCUAUGAUAGAGACUGCAGGAUGUGGUAAAACACUAAGGCAUAUUUCAAACUACAUUAUAAGGUAUUUGAUUAGAAAAUUAAAUAAAUAAAUAAAUAAAUAAAAUAACAUAACAUAAAAUACAAAAAAGAAAAAAAAAAUUAACAAACUGAAUUUGUCCAUAUGCAACAAUAUGCAAUUGUUAGCCAUGAAUCCCAGUUAUGUCGGUUUCCAGUAUUAAUAAUUAAGCAUGAUGUUUAUGAACUAGACCAGCAUUCUAAUAACUCUAGAUUGAAGGGCAUGGAUGUCACAUUUGUAUUCCAUCAUGUGCAACUAACAUCACAUUGAAAUAAUAUCCACUAAAGCAAGUUAAGACCCAGUAUAUCAGAUUAAAUUUUUUCUACCAUGAACAUAAGCUUGAUAAAAAUGAAGAUGGAAAUGCAAUACUUCUUUAUAUGACAUAAUGAAGGGAACCAAAUACAAGGACUCCCCAUUCCAGAUGCAGAAAGCCAAGUUACAACCUUUGCCAAAUAAAGAGAUCCACCAUAAGUUCAUUUUUAGACAUGCUAUAGUUGAAUAUGCCAUCAGUAAGUGAUCAAAAGCCAAUUCAGAUGGGAAUAACAGCCACAAUGUUGGGAAGGUCAAUAACAAAAGCAUUGACUUGAAUGUUGGCAGUGUCAUUUACACUGGCCAUAAGAACCAGAGGUAAUGCAUACAGUUGGUAAGGUGGGGAGGAGGAGAUGAGAAAUUGAAAAGUCUUGAAUUUAUUUGUUUCAUGCAAUUCCGUUUUCCAAUACUCUAUACGAUAAUAUACAUUGUACAGCACAAGAAUAGGGUUGUUUUAAAAUUUUGAACAAAUAAAAAUUUCAUAUCAAUAUCUAAUAUUUAAUAAAAAAGAAUGAAACAAGAGUAAGUACAUUCUCUUCUCCUUAACAUGGUAUUAAAGCAGUCUCCAAACUCUUAACUCCUAGUUGCAUACUUGAUUUGCACUGGAAGUUGCAGUUUGCUCAUUUUGUUAUUCAAGUAAGUUACUUCAAUCUAUCAUAGUUUAAAUGACUUGGGACGGUAGUUGUCAUGGGCACGAAUUUUCCCACAAAUUUUUCGCAUUCACACAGCGCUUAGAAGCCCUCUAAGCCAACAUACUCAAACCCACAUGAGAUUGCAAUCAAGAAAAACCUCACAAAGACACACAAGGCUAUGGAGCUCAAUCCCUAACUUGUAUUUUAUUUCUUCUCUAAAUAACAAUACCAGACAUAGCUUAACAAGACUUCCACAAUCUCUUUGGUGAGUUCAUGCUCUCUCUCAAGCUAUGUAUAUUCUCUAUGAUCUCCAGAUUGCACGAUAAUUCAAAGGGCACUCCAGUCCUCCUUUUAUAGGUGUGACACCAACCACUCCCUAUUUGAUAAGGAGCAACGAAUCCUAGUUCUACUCAAACUACAAUUAAAAUAAGAAUCUAAACUCCUAUUCAAACUCAAAUUACAAUAACAAUUUGAAUUCAACUCUGAACUUUCAAAUGUCUUCGGCCCAUUCCUCUUUCAUUUGAAACUCCUUGUAUCAGGCCACAUAUCAGCCCUUCAAUUCCCUGGUUUGUGGUGCAAUAUAUCUUCCUUAAGCUUGUCCCAAUGCCAAGACAUCUUUGUUGUGUUCUGCCUGAAGUCUACCCACUCUUGUGCCUUGAGUCAGUCCAUUCAUGCAUUUGAAUCAGCUGAUGCAUCCGAUCAGCUUGCUAUAGCGUCUCUAGGCAGCCUACUACAUGUGUCUCUAUGCAACUAGUGUGCAUGCCAAGCCCUCUCUUAGCCUACAGAUCUAGCAAUUUUCCUUGGUGCCAAUCUUUCCUUUGGCUGUAGCCCCUUGUUGUUCCUUGAGCGUGUCAGUCAUGCUCAUAUGUGUUCCCGCAUCUGGAUCACGUCCAUGCUGAGGCAACCUGCCCAAGUUUGCUCUGCCUAGCUGUUGUUAUGGCAUCAUGCCAUGCCCAAGCCCUCUUCUUGGUGCAGCAACGAGUCAUGGCAUUGCACCCAUGACUCCUCAUCUCUAUGCACAAGGCAUUGUGCCCUUGUGCCACGCCACCUCAUUGCACAAGGCAUUUCCCCCUCAUGCUACCGUUGGGAAGGGAAGACUGCAUAGCACCCCAUGUCGUUGCAACCUUGAGUUGCACACCAUCACAUGUCAUGGAGCCCAUAUAUGGUUGCUAGCAAGGCUUGCCCAUGUGCCUUGCUCAUGUUUGAGGACUUGCACCAAAGCCCCUAAGUGUGGCCAUGCCCAUGCCACCUCGUCUCCCUUGAGUCACCCCCACCCUCACCCCCCUUAAAAGAGCAUUUUAAGCCCUUUUAAUUAAUUCAAGAAAAUCUAGAAAAUUUUGCUUCCACUUGGAGUCUCCCUUUUGAAGGUUCCUAUAAAUCUUUUAUCUCUAAGCGAAUUAACCAAGUCACUUAAUUGUUUUGCAACAUUCCUUCCCUUCCCAUAGUGUAUUUCAAGAUCUCUUAAUGAACAAGACAAUUGGUGGAGGGCAUGAAGUAAGUGGAAUUUAUCACCAUAUUGGCCCACCUUUUACUCCAAUUGCUCUACGUACUUCCAUUUCUUCUAUGUAGUGGCACACCUUUCACUACGCAUCUUUAGCAUAUGGGACUUCUAGUUAUAUUGGACUCCAAGUUAAAGCACCAAGUUUGUGAGUCAAGCAAAUAGCAUCACCAUAGUGUUGUUCUAGUCCUUUUUGUUCUAUAAUCAAUAAGAGGAGUACUAGUCCUUUUCAUCUUGUUCAUUUAGACAUUUACAGUUUAUGUAGUGUUGUUCCUAAUGUUGAACUAAACUUUUUUAUUGCUAUUUUAUUAAUUAGAUCAAUGAAAAUGGUAUGAGCAUAAAGAGGCUGAAUAAUAGGUACUAAUCUCUUAAAAAAAACUAUCUUGUAGAAACAUCAUCAGGUGACUAUGCACAAGUAAAUGGUCUGACAAGGCGUGAGAAAAACAUUCAUUUUUGUGCAACAACCAAGUAUUUGCAUCUUAAUCAACCAAAGAAUAAAUGGCUGAAGACAAUAAAUGACUGAACAAAAAGAAAAUCAUAAGUUUUAGGCCAGACACUUUUUUCAUCAAUUAUAUACAACAACAAUAAAUCAAAUAGUCCUAAAUUUCAAAAGAAUAAUGCUCAGCAGCUAUGCAUACUCACAAGUCACAAAUACCUCAUCCUUGACUAAUUUACAUGAAUGAAUUAUUUACUUACCAUACCAAGAGAAACGUUGUAAGAUAGUAUGCAGUAUUCAGGAGUCCAUAGGAUAAUAUUCCAGAAAUUCCAUAUCUCUUCAGUUUCUUUAGAAGACUGAAAGGUUAAGCAAGAAUGAGCUCUCAAUGUAAGUAGACAUGCAUUUCAGCAUACAAAGGGCAAAAGGAUUGAGGUAUCACUUCUUACAGAUUGUUUGCAUGAAAUUCAGUAGUAGAAGAGAAAUUAAAAUGAUUGGGACAAGAUCACUCAUCCAAACAAUAGUUUAUUUACAGAGAAAAGGUCUAAAGCAUAAUCAUGCAGUAGACAAAAUGAAUCUUUUGUGUCAUGUUCCAAUAAUGUUAACAAACUACAUUAAAUUCAUAAGGUUACAUAGAAAAAGAAAGAAAAGACAUUGUUGCAAUAGUUUGGUUGUUACACUGCUAGCACCCAGACUACGACCAAAUCCUUGCAUUGAAAUUGAAUUUCAAACUCCCAAUGUGAAAAAGGAAGAUACAAAAAAGAAAAGAAAAACAGGAGGAAAAAAAAAAAAACAGAGGGAAAGAAAAGAAACAUGGGAUUUCCAUGUAUAAUACAUACAUAUUAUAUCUAUAGAUAAAUGCAUGUAUGUGCAUAUGUCAUAGAGGCUGGUCAGACACAUUUCAAGAAGUUUCACAACUUGCUUUGGAAUGACAAACACGUGGAUCAAUAAAUGGCUUGUCUCCAUUAUUGAGAAAUUGCAGGUAAAUUUCAUCCACUACAGGCAUGGGGUGGCUGGACAAAGUUAUGCCAUUUGGUGGGAUGUAGUGGACUUAAGACAGAAAAUUCUCAAUCAUUCUUCUGUCCCUUGUGCAGUGUUGAAGCUGACAAUAUUAUUGAGCAUACAAGGAAUGUGAUGUAAAACAUCAUUGAGGACCAUGAGCUGCGAAGGCAGGGAGAAAUUAAGUUAUGAUUAAGUUUUGGUGAGGGAUUUUCAGAUGCAGAUCAUAUGGCAAAUUAACUUCAGAGAAUUGCAUGUUUUUAUUCAUUUCCAUACACAUUGAAUAAUCAUAUUUAAAAUCCCUCAUUCACUUGUUUCGCUUCCAUUAGUGCUCCUUCCACAUGCCUAUUAGCAGCAUAGACCUCAUGAUAGUUUGGUAAAGGUAAGACAAUAAAAUUGAAAAAUACAGCUAAAGCCUAAAAUAUUGGCUCAUAAAGAGAGAAACCAUCCAAGUUCUAUCUUAAAUGACUCUACAAGUUCUAAACAGGGAGACAAGGACUUCAACCUGGUCCAUCAAUGCAUAUAAAUGGGUAAUCAUUCCAACAACCAUUACGUUAGAAGUACACUAAAAGAAAAUUAUUAAACAAUGUUGUUUCCAAAAAUUCCAUGUUAAAGAAUAGAAGAACAUACUGCUAUAAAUGAAAUUCAUUCAAAACAGUUCAAACAGUAAAGUUAAGAAUUGUGACUGCAUAUUUUUUUUUAAAAGAAACAAGAAUUGUGACUGCAUAUCACCACACUUGUUUUAUUUAUAAUCCACACAAUGUAUUCUUCCCUAGCAUGUUAUCCCAUUAAGUAACCUCCAGAUAAAAUUCCCUUUCUGACUCUGUCAAUCAGCCAAAAAAUUUGAUGUAAAAUGUAAAAUACAUGGGUACACAAAAACAACUAUAUAAACUGCCAUCCCAUCAUUAAUAAAUCAUUUGUCUAUAACAUAGACUAAUAGCACUGUAAGGCAAGUAGGAAGUACUCUUUUGAUGUGUGCAGUUCUCCUUCACCAUUUUCGCCCUUUGCACUGGAGUCUAUAAAAAUAUGUAUAAGUAGAUUUUUAGAAAUAUCAAGUUUAUCAAAUGUAAAAUAUGGUAUCACAGAAAGCUACACCAUUUUUCUAGUUAUCAUUUGAAAGAUAUUGAUACCUUCAUGGUUGGCAGAGUAGUCAUGACCAUUUGACAUGCCAGAAGCCUAACCUACAACAAAGGCAAUGUUGAAAAAGCAAUAUUCAAAAUUCAAUGAAAAAAACAGAAGACAAACAAAUGAACAAAUAGCAAAUCAUCACACUCAAUUGUUUUCCAAAAAUGAAAAACCAAAUGAAAGGAACAAGGAAUAUAUUGAGAAAAAAACCUAUGAUCAAUGGAUAUGCAGUUGCAUUCUAGCACAUAUAUAGGAUCAAACAAGUAACUAAUCUAGACAUAGCUGCAGCAAAUUUGUGUAUCUCUGAAUGCGUGUCUGCUUUUUGUGGGGGGAUAUUUAUUAUGACAUGUUCUUAGUGCAGACAAACCAUCUGCAUUUACUUGAGGAUUAGGUAAACAUACUUUCCAUUUAAAAUGAGGCCUUGAACAUCAAGCCCCGGUGAGUUUUCAAAUAAGGAAAACAUAAUAGCUUUACAAUGAGUCCCAUAGCAAGAAGGCAUGCAAUUCCAUUCAUCAGCAUACCAGAAUAUAGAAUAGUGUGGACAUGUGGACACAUGCCAGAAUUAGCAUUGGACACACUAACAUGCCAGUCAUACAUAGAAAGACUUUCCAAAGAUAUUAAAGUAAAACACUGGUAGUAAGCAAAUUAGACCCAGAAAAACAUGCAAGUAUAGGCCAAGAUCAAAUCUUAAUUUUAAUUUCCAGAAAAAAAAUAAAAAAUUAUAUCAACCAAUAGAAAUGGUAUCAUCAGCAAUUAACACCAAAACACACCAACAUAUCGGAAUGCAUAUCACGUGUACCAAUCUCCAAUCAGCAUUACACCUGUACAAGUUAGCCUGUAGCAGGUCAUAAUAGGUUCAGACUAUAAAACCUUCCAAAUCUUCCUUUGCAGGGCUUAGAAACUAUUUUCUAAGUAAUUUGCAAUUUUAAAAGCCUGUGACAAAAUUUUGGAUGAAGAGCUUAAACUAUAUACUCACAAACCCACUCCAAAAUUUCCUUAAGGUAAUACACAUUUUUUGAAGUCCUUUCCAAUGUCUUCUCUUAUUUGAGUUAGAAAAGCCAAUGUUUUUAUGAAUUGACUACUACGGCUGUUGAGGUUUGAGGUGUAUAACUAAUUUCUUAAUAUAUCAUAAUUUACAUCAGUCAUUAGAAAUUAAGGUUCCAUCCUUUUACACUAAGAAAAUCCUGAGAGCAAUUAAAAAAUACCUUCUUUAAUAUUAUUAAAUUUAAGUUUCCUUUAGGUCUUUGAGUCUAAUAGAAAUUAGUAUAAAAGGAAUUUUAAUUUUCUUACACUAAGAAAAUAAAAAUAAUAGGCAAAAUAAUUUUCAAAUUUUGGAACUUUAUAGGUAAUGCUUAUUAAAAUAAAGCAACAAAGUUUGUCAUUUGCCAAUGAAUGAACCAAUUGUGGAAAACUAUGCAAAAAAUUUUAUUAGCAUGGAAUUUUUUUUUUCUGCCAAUAUAUAGAAUUCAAUUUCAAACCUGCCCCUCCCAACCCACCACUUGCUACUUGAGGCAAGCUUAGAGGCAGAAAACUAUUUACAAUUCUACGUAUGGAUAAAAAUUAUUUCUUAGAUUUUAUGCCAAUUCCAUAUUUAUAGGUAUCAAUUUAUUAUUCUACUGUUGUCAGAAGCUUCAAUUUUGGGCGUCCUCAUGGCUAUGCCACCCUUAAAUGAGAACAACUUUGGUCUUCUGUUUUUCUUUUUGAGCUCUUCAAAUUUUUGCAAGUUACUUCUAUCCAGGUUCUAGGAAACACCCAUUUUUUUAAAUCUCCAAUAAUUUAGGGUUCUGUGGCUGAGGGAAUAGACUUAUUUUUGGUUGAAGCACAUAAAAUUCUUGGCUAUUUUUUUAUUUUUUAUUUUGCCAUCAGGUCCUUUUAGGUUGAUUUUUCUACUUAUUUUUCACCCACCAAUUAACAUUGCCCUAACUCUGUUAUCUAUCCGAACAAAUGUUUAUGAACUAGCAAAUCAUACUAAAAUUUCUUACUAGUUGACAUGUGCAUCAUCUCAGCAUGUCAUUCCAACACCAAACUACAACCAUAAUCUCACUAACAUCCUAACUGCCUCAAUGAGUAUGGAUUACAGAAAUGCAAUUAAAAUAUACUUCCCUAUUUAAUUUCAUAAUUUUUAUAAUAAUAUUUCAGCAAUAUUUCCACAUAGUAGCUUAUGUGAGAAAUCCCCAUUUCCGUAUAAAAUCGAAAAACCCUAUAGCUUGCGCAUGUAAAUAGAAAAAAAAAAAAAAAAGACAGAUUUUGCAGAAUUGGGAGAGCAGACUCACACCAGCAUGGCCAUUGAUUGAGCAGAAACGCAGAUGACGAUGAUGGUGGUGGAAUUGGGAGAAAUUGUUGAGUUUGUGGAAUGUGGGAACCCUAGGAAUGCUGGGAUUGAAACCCUGGAUUGAAACAAGAGGAUUGUGAGAGAGAAUUGGAAAUUGAAGAAUCAAACACAAAAAAUAAAUCCAAGAAAUAAAAAAGAAGCGUAAAAAUGAAAUAGAGAAGAGUGUGUAUGACGCACCUGAUGAUGUGAAAGCAGCUUCAGCUGGUGAAGGCAAACUUUCGACGGGAGAGACAUGAGCAUACCGGCCUCCGACAACAAUCCCUCCAAAAUAUUCUUUCUAUACCAUUUAUUAUUAUUAUUAUUAUUAUUAUUAUUAUUUUCAGGUUAUUUGAAGUGCAAUGUCUAGCUAUACCAUUUAUUAUUAUUAUUAUUAUUUUAUUGCUAUUAUUAUUUUCAGGUUAUUGAAGUGUAAUGUCCACCAUACCUUAUAUGCCAUCCAUGAUGAAGGCCUUAGAACUCUCCAUGGAGCCUAAAUCUCGGGAUGCUAAUCACCCUAUAAUAACCAGCAUAGAGUAUAUUCAAAGUAUCAUUAAUGACAAAUUUCGAACUUAGGACCAUAUGUCAUUUACUGAGACCACACUUCUUAAUGUUCAUCCUUAGCGACACACUCAUAUGUACCAAAUCAUCCGAUAACCUGUUUUUCCUAUUUUCUCAUUUUUACAAAAAAAAAGAAAAAAUAAGAAUAACUUCUAUUUUUAAAAUUUUAAUUUUUUUUAUAAGUAAAUUUUUGUUCUCAUUAGGACCUGUGGAACCUCCCACAAGUCCUCCCGAAUCAUUUACCACUUGAGUCAUGCCUUAAUGGCUUGUUUUUUUAAAAAAUAAUAACAACUUUUAUAUAAAAAAAAAUACUUAUAAAAAAUAUAUACAUGUCAUUAAAAGUUUAAAGAAAUUUAAAUUUGAUAAUAAUUUUUUAAAUAAUUUAAUGUGUUAAUUGUUCUUAAAAACCGUAAAUAACCUAAAAAAGAACAGUAUGUUUGUAAAUUGACCAAAUUGUUAUAUGGUUUUAAAUAGUCACCUUAACAAUGUUACAAGUGAGUUGAUUAAUUUAUGGUAGAGAAGAAUUACAAUAGAAUUCAAUUAGUUAUCGCAUUUGAAGUCUUUGAUUAUUUGUUGAAUAAUAUUUGCAGCCAAUUAGCUAGGGUUGGCUAACCCAAGCCAAACCUAGUUACCAAUAUGUCCAACCUAUGCUAAACUCGAUUCAAAGUAAGGUUGGUAGUUACUAAACUCAUUAACAACUAAAGUUUCUAUGGAUUCCCACGAGUUUUCAUGGAUUAUCAAAUAAACCACAUAUAAUGGAAUCUCCUAAUAUAUAAAAGACAUAUUUCAAAUUAUAAAUUAAACCAUAUUAUAAAAUAAAAUUUUAAAAGCUAAGUAUAUAUCAAAGUCAUAAAUUAUAUUACUAUUCACUAAUUUUAAUGGUAACAUGAAACACAAGUGUGAAUAUUUAAAAAUAUUUUAGUAAUUAAACAAAAAUGAUAGACUUAUAGUGUAAUGUAAUAAAACUAGCAAAAGUUAUAGUUAUUUCAUUAUCCCUUUUAUAAAUUUCAUAUUUUAAAUAAACUAAUAAAUAAUAUAAUAGUAAUGAAUUUGCUUAGUCUUCAUCAUGUAGAACCAAUUUGAAGAAUUUUUUUUUAACAGGACUGAUUAAUGACUUAAUUAAGGGUAGGUUACAGCUAAAAUAUUUAGUAGGACUGAUUAGUGACUUAAUUAAGGGUAAACUACAGCUAAAAUUUUCCUAGUAGUCUUCCACUAUGGCAAAUUGUGGGAACUAGUAGUGGCCUGUCCAACCUAUAGAGGAAACAAAUAGGUGAGUGAGUUAUUGAAUAUGUGGCUGAGAGUGACCAACCAUUGAGGCUCACAUGAAGUUGUAGUGGCUGAAAGGAAGGGAUAAGAGACCAAAAACAUGCUCAGAGAGAUUCUUGUUAGGAUCAAAUUGGGGGCAUAGAUAUAUCUCUUUGGUAAGAGUUCCCAUAAUUUAGGUAUUAAUGAAAUAGGUAUAAAAUAAUUAUAUAUCUUGAUAUGAUCAUGUUGUUAAUGAUGAUCUAAUGAGUUGAAAUAUUAUGUUUUCAACUGUGUAUAUCUAAUAAAUACAUCAAGUGCUUAAACUUUAAUAUAGAAAUGGUCCACAAUGGCUUGUAUGACUCAUCGUCUUAUAAACAUAUUAUUUAGAUUAGGCUAAAGUGGUCAAAGUAAGAAGAAAAAUUGAUACUUGAUUUGAAGUAUGAAGAAUUCUUCUUAGACUUUGUGUGUAGUGUUGUUAGCUUAUUGUUGUGUUAAAGUCUAUUUUGAUGUAUUUUGGAAAGAAUGACCAACUAGAACCACAAUAAGAUGUUGCAAAACUUAUUUAAACAAGGGCUUGUGAGCAAGAUUUUUUUUUUUCCCUUUCAUGUACAAAUAGUAUGAUGAAUGAAAAUUUGAUUCUCGAUUGUAAUUAGUGUUUUCUUUAAGUUUUAAAUCAUGCAAUGAAUACUUAAAAUUAGCUUACGAUGUCAAAGAAUGUAAGUAAACAAGGUUUUACAUGUUGGAUAUAUAAUAAAUUCAAAACCUUUACCUUCCACAUUGAAUGAUUACAUUUUUUCUUUAAGUGCCCUUUAAUCAUUCUCAUUUUGUUUAAUCAUUUUCUAUAAUGUCUCGAGCAUAGUAGAUUUCUAUAAAUUUACAUGAGCAUUCCUUAACUCUUCUUGAGUGAUCCUAAACUUAGCAUUGAAACAAUCAUAAUUUAGGCGAAGAUGCUUAUACGUCUUCAUAAUCAUCCUUGGUUGCUAGCCAUUUUUCCUUAAUUACUUUAGGAUGUUUAGUGAAGAUGAUUACAAAUAUUAACUAGUUCACUCAAACAUUUUUGUAUGAGUGUAGAACAAUUUUGCAUUCUUUCCACAUCACUUAUGCAUCUUCGUUCCAAGAAAUAAGAUAUAGAACUCUUAUGUUUUGCCUACACCACUUGGUUCUCCAACCCAUUGUGCUUAUGCAUCCUUUUUAUAUCACAUAUGCGACUUGCUUCUCAUUAAGAUAUUUCACUUACAUGUUCUUGUAUAUGCAUAAUUUAGGAAAAAAUAUUUAAAAAUAGAAAAAUAGAUUUUAAUACAUAUAUUUGGAACAAUUAAACUCAAACUAUGCAAGUGACCUUGUCUACUAUGUAGGUGACUUUGUUUACUACAUAGGCAAAGUAUAUGACAGUGAUAGUCAAGGAAGCUAUGUGGUUGCAUGGUUUAGUGGAGAAUUUAAGAGUAAAGCAAGAUCACAUUGUGAUUUAUUAUGAUAAUGGGAGUGCCCUAAAUUUAUUUAAGAAUAAAAUUCAUCACUCAUUGGUAAGGCAUAUUGAUGUCUAAUUUCAUUUUAUUUAAGAGAUUCUAGAAGAAAGUCAUACCUUAUUUUAGAAAAUUACUGAUGUUAAUGAGGUAGGUCAUAUUUAAAUGUGAUCCAUGUUGAAAGGAUCAAUGUACCUUUAGGUGUGUAGUAGCAAAAUCUUUAAAGAUUGUUUGGUUAGCUUCAUUUAAAUUACUUAGUUAAAUAUUACAUAGUCAAUUAUAUGUUUGACUUUUUGAACUAGAACAUUUAGAUUUUGGUUGUUGUAGUUGUUAUAAUUACUAUUUAGGUUUUUAAAAAGGUAUAAAUUUAUAAUUUUAGUUGGUUUUAUUAGUUUCAUUUAAAAUUCCCAAGAAACUUCAGUGAAGGAAAACAGAGCAAGAGAGUUUUUGAGAAUUGCUUAUAAUUCUUGUAUAUUAUUUUGAUAUCUUUAGUGCAUUCAUCUUAUCAUUACCAUAGAUGAAGGCAUAUUGUCAAACCAUAUAAAUUGUUUAUCUCUUUGUCUAUAUUGAGCUGCCAAGAUCAGUUCCUUGUAAUCCAAUGGCUUAUUUUGAUUCCACGAUGCUACAAUGUAUUGAAUUAAGCAUAGGGAUUAACAAUUCCAAUCAUAAACAAUAAGAGAUCCUCCCCAACAGCAUAAAAAACUUGAGAGACCCGAGGCUCGCAUCUCAGAAUAUGCUCUUGAACUAACACUAAAGAUGCCUAGAUUCACCACCACCCUUUCCACCCCAAUGUUGUUAGAAGUAGAAUCUAAUCAAAUGAAGAGUUCCUGAUAGUUGCGAGUUCUUAUGAUUUUUUUCCAUCAUUUUCUGACUUUUUUUUCAUCCAUUACGUACGUCCUUCUGAGUGGAGUUCUCCUUUCAUGGUAUCAGAAAAUCAUACUCAAUGAAUUCGUUAUAACCAGACCAUAACCAGAACCUCCAUGGCGUGUUUUUCCUGUGUUUUUUCUGAAAAUAUAGCUACAUUUAUACAUAUUUUUAAGAAUAUUAAAGGCAUUAUCAAAGGAAGAAACCGAGAAAACUGAUUGUAUAGAAAUCUAUAAUUGUGCUUACUUUCAGUCCUAGUCACAAAGUUUCAACCAGAUAAAUCAUGUCGAGAGAUGCCCAGCAAGUGGUGGUGGUCCAGGAUGCAUCCAGAGAUGUUAGUUCAAGAGCAAUCCUUAGGAUUCUCCAUGACUUAACACUUAAGCCUGGAGAUGACCUUACACUCCUCGGAGUUCUUCACCAGGUUAAUAAUCCUUGUACGCUUUCUUUCAUGGGAGGUAGGAAAAUACGUAAAAAUUCAUGCCUUUUUUUUCUUUUGAGUACAGAAGAAAAAUCCAAGAAGAAAGAAAUAUUAAACAUAGCACCAGGAAAAUGAUAUAUACCAAAAGGGAAAUUGUGCAGGUUUAUAGAUUGAUGAAUGAUGUGUCAGAUUUCCCAAUACAACUAUUUUAUUCUAAGGUAUACUUUGAUAAUAGAGACAACUAUUUUAUGAUCAAAUGAAAAAAUGAGGUAUAACAAUUAACCCAAGACAAAUCCUUAAGUGAUACUUUAGUUUUUUAUGAAAUAAAUGUUCUUUUUAUAUUAGUAUAAAAGAUUAUUUUUUCUUAGUUUCAUUUAGGGAAAAUUUUGAUUUUUUAAAGUUUUAAAGUUGGUUAAUGUAAAAUUUGUUUUUUAUCUUUUAGAUUUUCUUUUCCAUAUUUACAAAAAUAGAUAAUUAAAUAAACUUAGAUAAAAAUAGAAUUUUCAUGUUCACUUGUUUGCCUUAUGAAUUUAUUUUACUAUUAAAAUAGGUGCUUCUUAUUAUUUAAUUUUAAAAGUGAAGAUGCAUGUUUUAAUAAAUUCUAAGAGAGGACAAUGUUUAAAAUAAAAAAUUGAAAUAUCGUGGAAAUUAAUAUUUUAUUUUAAAUACAGACAAUUUCCAUGUAAUUUUGUUUGUAUAUUAUCACUACAAAUCAACGAUGACUCCAAAUAGCCAUUGGCCUUAAGAGAUGUCAAGCUCACAACAAAAAUAAUGUUCUAAGUUCUCUAAAAAUAUUUUAAUUAAACACAAAGGUAGUCCAUCAUCUAAUCAACAUUUGCAUAUACAAAACCAUUUUAGCAAAAGUUACAUCAUCCGUUAGUAUAAGCAAACAUGAAUAAGUAUUUCCUAAUUAAGAAAAAUAUUAAUUCAAAUAUUUUAAAUUGGCCAACAAAUUAGGAUAUUGAAAUAAUGGUCUCUAUAUCAAAUGAGUUAUAAGAAAAGGUAACAUUAUCUUUCAUCUAAAUUUCUAUGCUUUCACAAUCUUCAAAAUUAAUAAAACAAUAAGUUAUCUUUCAUUUGAUGCCAUUGGCUAUAUUGUAUUUUCUCGUGACAAAGUGAUGAUUAUCUUUUUUUUUUUUUUAUGCACUUGAUUGAUUUGGUUUCCACCAAUGUGACUUUAGUGAUUUAUCCUUCGCCGGUUGUUAGGAUAAUGGUAGUGGUUAAUAUGAUGUCGUCAAUAGAAUAACUACCUACUCUAGGUAGUAUGUUGGAUAUGAUGUUAUAAACCUACUUAUAGAUUAAUAUAGUUCAACAAAUACUAAUUUGAGAGAGAGAGAGAUAGGUCUAUGGUGAGUUGUAGUGAAAGGGAAGGAUUAAGGCUAGGGUUUGUGUGGGUAUGAAAAAGAUAAAAACAUUUUUAUUUUCAUAUCCAUUUUUGGAUUUUAAAAAAUAAAAAUAAAUAGGUGGAUAUAGAAAGAGUUCAAGUGGUUCGUUUGCAAUUUCCCUUCAUAAAACAUCACAGUUGUCAAUGAGAUCUAUGCACUAAGUAAUUUUAACAACCUUUGUUUGUGAAUUGCUUGUUACUGCAUUAAGUUUUGGUAUUCUCCUCCAUGUAGGUGAAACAUAUCAUGUUUAUGUAGAAUCAUUAAUAUAGUGUUUAACAGCUUCCAUGAAAAAGAAAGCGUGAGAGCUUGGGGAUAUACUUCCCAACUUAGAGGACAUCUCAAUAGCAAUGAAUAGAUUUUCAUAUAAAUGGUUAAAUAGUAUAUAAAAUAAUCGAAGAUGUCUUGUUUUAGUUUACCUCCUAGGUAGAUAGCCUAGUUACUUCAAGUAGUUUUGGCAACACCAUUUACUAUCAUCUUCAACGAGUAUAUAUCCUUCAAGGCAAGGCCUCACUUUCUUAGCUCAACAAAAAGUUUAUUAUGAUAAGUUAUCUUGAUAACUAAUGACUAAUCUUGGUGUAUAUAUAUAUAGUUAAGAGGGAUGUGAAUCAAUGAGAAAUAGUUUCCACUUUGUGCUAAUGAUAGGUUUGAGUCAAGGUUCAAAUUUUCAUCCAUGGAAGUAUGAAUGUUGAUCAAUAUGAAAUUCUGGUCCAUCUUGUGAUAACAAAUAGUUUAUCAUAUGUAACUCAAAAUUAUUCUUUCUAUACAUUCAUCUUGUGCACCCACCUUUCUGUUUCUUUAUUGUACGUAUCACUUUCUCUUAUUCCAUAAGGAGAAGCCACUAGACUUGAGAAAUCAAUUAGAGAAUGAUACAAUUCCAACAAGAUCGAGUAUGAAACAUUUCUUAUCAAUCUUUUCAUAGUGACUCAUAGCUUGUAGUAAAUUAAUGGGCUAUUUGUUUUUUAACUUGAGUUUUGAAGCAAGUUGUUUUAAGAUUUAAGAUAAAAGUAAAAAAGAAAUUUACUUUUUCUAUUAACACAAAAUUAUCUUAGAAAAUAUGAUACGUUAAAAAAUAACCAUUUUAAAAAUGACAAAUCUUAUAGAAAAAAAUAAUAUAAAAAAAUAACACUUAACACUAUUAAAUAGUAUUUAGUUUUGAGUUAUAUUAAGGUAUAUAUAUAUAUAGACACACACCACCUAAGGUGAUGUUUUACUUGUUUGUUUGUUUUUUCUAAAAUCUAAAUAGAUUUGAAUUUGGAUUGAAUUUAAAUAGAGCAAAAUGUCAUAAGUGUUUAGACUCUUUGUGCUUUAUUGUAUUUGAAAUAUGUUAAGUGUUAAAUUGUUUAUUUUUACUUAUGUCAAAAUACUAUAAGUAUUAAAUUUAUUUAUUUCACUUGUUAAAAAUGUCUACAAAAUUAAUUAUAGUAUUUGUUAUUAUUUUAGUUUUAAAAAUUUACAAUUUUUAAAAUAUAUAGUAAUUUAAAUAUUUCCAAAAUAUCAAAAUUAUUACGAUAAUAAACAUUUUAUAAUAAUUAAUAUUGUAAUUAUUUAAGCAUAAUUGGAUAAUAACAAGGAUUUCCUAUUAUGCUUGGUUACUAAAAAAAUAUUUUAAAAAAUUUCUAAUUUGACACUUAUUUCUAUAUGGUGUGUCUUCAUAUUUAAAUUUAAAUAUUUUCCAAAAUAUCAAAAUUUAUUACUAUAAUAAAAAUUUUACAAUAACUAAUAUUGUAAUUAGUUAAGAAUAAUUAUAUAAUAAUGAGACUUUCUAAUUAUGCUUGAUUACUAAGAAAAUAUUAAACAAAACUUCUAAGUUAACAAUUAUUUCUAUCUGGUGUAUCUUUGGAUUUAUGGAUUUGUAAUUGAAAAAUGUGUUUUAUUAUUGAGAUUAAUUCAUUAAUUUUUAUAUUUUAGAUUUUCAACAUUAAAUCCUAACAUUUUAUUUUUCAAAAUUAAUUAUUAUUGCUUAUUCUAAUAAUGUGGACCCCGCAUUUCGGCUCAUGCACUUCCACUCGAUGGCGAGCUCGAUUUUUAUUUGAAAAACGAUUUUAUUUAUUAGAAAAUGACUUGGAGUCACCACUUAUUUUUGUUUUAUUUUUAAAGGGUAAACAAAAUACGAAAGAAAACCCUAAGUGUGACUCCUUAUUUUGGAAAAGAUAAUCCACGAAAAACCGGAUCGGGCUCGGGGGUCAGGUUACUUAUCGGGAAGGUAUGGUAAAGACCGUAGCACCCCUCUAAGUCCCUAAAGUCGGGUCUCUACUAAUAAAAUGAAGCUAACGUGGCAAUUGAUGAGGGAAUCAAUGAAUACUUAGUGUAAUCAUGCACAAGUGAGAAUUAAAACAUACAUAUAGAAAGACCAGAAUGGGAGUAGAUGCGUACCUGGGUGAUGAGCCACAAUGCGCUAUCAAGAAAUGGGAUUAGUGCAUAGUAAUGAACAUAAAAUGUGUCAAUCUUAUCACCAAACAAGAGAAAGAACCACCAAUAGCACGCAUGACAUUUCGUUCAAAUUCAUUUUUAUUUUAAAGAAAAUUUAUUUGAUGUUGGGCCCCCACCAUAGCCCAUCUACUUUUGAGUGAAUCGAUUUCGUAAAUUCCAUCAUCAAGAAUUACGAAAAAUAAAUUCACACUUAUUUUGAAACAUUUUGAAAAUCAUGGAAAAUUCAAAAGUGGCUCGCCGGAAAGGAAAUGGUGGCCAAAUUUCAUUGAAAAUGGGAUUUUUAGGUCCUAAAAAUAAACUAAGGAUGAAAACUUAAAAAAAAUGUCAAAAUUAUUUGAAGAAUUUAAAAUUUGAGAAACCAUUUGAAAACUGGAAUAUGAUGGAUUAUUUUAAAAUCAAGGAUGAUGAAAUGAAAAGAGGUGGUACGUGGUCACCAAGACUACAUGUCAAAAGUGACCAUGCAACUCAUGCAAGAGUAGGUCUACGGGUAAGAGUACUGGAAUUGGGUAUAAGAUAACCAAUAGGAAUGGGGUAAAUUAAGAGACCCCAGCGGCAAGCAACUUCAUGAGGCCUUCCUUUGUUGAUGUGUACCAGAACCAACCUUCUUUUUGCCUUUUACAAACUUCUGUAAAGAUCCACCUCUACAAUUCUGAGCUUUUAUGCAUGAUUCAAAGAUAGCAUGAUGUUGUGCUUGGAUGUUCUCUUGGCUAUUACUGCCUUUUCUCCUUGUUGACCGAGAAUUAGUACCAUCAGGCAUCAAGUUAUGCAUUUCUUCCCUCAUCCAAACAAACAAGUUUUCUCUUGCAACUUUAAGAUCCUCUAAUAAGGACUCCAUGAAGAUUUUAAAAUCAUCCAAUGUUGCAGGAUCACAUGCAUUGCUCUUACUCUUCUUCUUAUUAACUUUCUUGAAAGAAUCCCUCUUCGUCUCUUUACUAUAUAAAUUAUUCCUCUUGCUUGAUCCAAUCUGCAUUUUGUUAGCUUUCCCAAUUUUGAAUUGAUCCCCUGAACUACGAUCAGACUUACCUUCUUGUUGAGAUCUAGGAGUACCACUGGUUUCAUCAUUUUCAGGCGAAAUAAGAGAGGAAACCAGUUUGUGCUUCUUGAGAACUGGCUCACCACUGGAACUCGAUUUGGAAUUAUCACUUGAAGAAUCAACGUCACUGUCUCUCCUCCUGAACUCCCACCUCUGCUGAAAUUUCAGGUCUUCACUCAUGUUAGUACUUGGGGAUAUAAUCACAACUGUAUAACUAUGUGCUCAAUCCUCGGGAGAGUCCGACCAUAAACGACUAGACCCACUUAUCAUCAAAGUUUCAACUGCUUGUUUGGAGAAUGAAAUCAGUUUGAUGGAAGGAUUUCCACUGCAACUGCACCUUGAACUCGUUUGAAAGAUUGUACCAGUGAUUCUAGCAGCACCCCUCCUCACAAAUCAAAUUUUGUGAAGAGACACCAUGAUUAAACCGCUCCAUCAUUCUCUUUCAUACACCCAGCACAAGAGCAUCCUCUGUGGAUGAAGCCCAACCAUUGCUCUGCAUCCACUUGGAACAAUCUUCUUAGCCCCAGAUGGGAGCUUGAUCCUGCUGGUGCCAUUAUCAGGGUUGUGGCUGACGACAAUAGCUCACUUGCCGGAUGCCCUGGCGAAGACACCUCGAUCACCAACGUGAUCUUCAACGUUACAGACCUCGGCACCUUCGGGAGUAGAGCGCAGGGGCAGAACGUUAUCGGCAAUGAGGGUGGCUUUCUUACUGCAGCAAACGAACUGGCCCGUGUAUAUGCUCUCAGCCACCACGAUAGGUUCAUCAUGACUGCAACUCCUACUAAACCAUAUCCCUGUCUCAGCAUCAAUAACCAGCUAGGUACUGCAUGUAUCACCAACACCACUAUCGAGGUCCAGGCUAUCACAAGUUCUGUUGCUAGGCAGAGCAGCAGGAAGUUGGUUAUCAAAGACAUGGUAAAUUUUAUCACCACCUAGGCGCACGCCAUCGAGAUGCUCUUUGUAUGUCUGAUCGAAGACACAAGAAAUUUCCAUGAUCAUGUAUAACUUUCUUCCAUUCUUCUUCAGUUGCACCAGUACCAAAUCCAUAUCAGCCAAGGACCCUUCACGCACAAGUAGCCACAGAUCUGUCAGAGAUGCACUUGAUACAAUUUUGCGAGCAACUGUAUGAUGAUUCUGCUUUUGGCCUGGAGGUGGAACUAAACCUUCCACUAAUCUAUAUUUUUCUCAAUAAUAUAUAUCCUCUAACCUUGACAAAAUAAUAACUUAAAUCCCAGUGUUGACUCCUUGCUUCUCGCCACUUAAGCUAACAAUGAUUAUGCCUUGUCACCAGAUGACUUCAAGAGCUAGGUUGUCCAAAAUCCUGUUAAGAAAUUAGUCCACACCAACUGAUAACAAGCUGAUGUGGCCCUCGAAGACAUUGAUUGAACCUAGUCCAUGUUGUAGUCACUUUUUGAAUUUCAUGAUCAAGAAAAUGAAGAGGAAGCCAUUUAGAUGCAUGGUUGAAAAUGGUCAACUGUUAUGCCCCCAUCAUCAUCACCUCUAGUAUUAUGAACACAAACCAGUUGCAACCGCCAUUCACAGACUCCCAUCACAGUUCAUGGGCCUGAAAUGAAUCUCCAACUAAUGGUGUAAGCAACAAGCUGAAUGUUGUUAAAAAUAUGAGAAAUGGGUGGAGAGUUGUGCGUUAAGAAGCAGAGAAUGGAAUAAGGGAAUAUACCCCUUCCCUCAAAGGCACAGAGAUGGAAUCAAGUAAUUGAAGCCGAAGGAAAGCCUUUCGGGUAGCCAAGAAAGCUUGAUUUACAUAUUCUGCAUUACUUUCAGCAACAUUGGCAAUCACAUCCCUGUCUGAGAGGCCAACUGGUUGUCCUUUGUGGUGAGUUCAGUGUCAUUUUAAACUUCUCCAUUGUAUCAAGGGAUAGCCAGCACAAGAAAGAAAUGAUACAAUGAAGCAGACAUGAGGCAUCUUUAGAAAUCCUCUGUGGAUGACAUUUUAAAGGCUCUGUGAUAUUCUGAAGCAUUGCUACUCAACUAUGACCUCCAUCCCUGAUAUAAAACACUAAACCAACCUCAAUCUACUUAACAUGCAUCUCGGGUACUCCAUAGAGAUUAAGCAUCUGUAAUCAUAGCUUCCGCUCCUUGAAUUUGCGUUCUCAGAUGGAGAUGCACCAAUCAAAGCAAACCACAGACAAACACCAAAAACAGAGACGUAUAGAGAAGAAAAUUGAUAAAACAAAACAGGGAUAGGUGAAAUGAGAGUUUGUUAAGCAAAACCUGGUCCCAUAAAUUAUCAACAGGCUUACCAGUUAGUGGGAGGGGAAAUGGGUUUAAGGAGAAAUGAUAGGAGAGAUACAUUCAGACAUCACGCAAUAAAACUGGACAAGAUUCAUACUAUUUCUCUCAACUAAAACCCAUAAACAAUAGAUGGAUAUAUAGUCAUAGCAAAUCCAGUGGAUGCUCAGAGAUCAACAAAAGUAGCCAUAUGAUAUCCACACACAAAUAGCUAAAUAACACCCACUAAUGAACAAAAGAGAAUGAAUAGCAAGAGAAAAAAAUAGAGAUGGAUAAGAAACAUACCUGGAAAUACCCCUCUCCAGUAAAAUCAGCUGAACUGCUAGUCCAUUGCUCUCUCCCCCUUCCUCUGGUUCCCCUCAAGUUAAAACAAUACCCUUCUCAAAUAUCUCCGACCAAAAAACCUUCUCCAAAAACUUCCCUUUCUCCUCUGCCAACCCCCCUCCAAAAAGCAUCUCCCUCUUCUCUACAACUGGCAGAUACGCUCCUCCCAUAACAGAAACGUUCUUCUCUAAACGUCCCUUUGGGAUCUCUUAUCAAACCUCUAAUGACUCUCAAGACUAGGUCACCGAUAUGUAGUGGUAUGGGCUUGACCCGCUUUUUGAAAGCGCGGGCCAUCUUCCUCUAUUAUGCACGAACAUGGUCUGUUGCUCUCAAUCUCAUCUCAUAUAGGAGAUUGAGCUGAUCAAAUCGAGCCUGAGCCCAAUCCGCCUCGGGAAUCUGCUACUUUAGUGCUACUCUCAAUGAACUCAUCUCGAUCUCAACUGGUAGCACUGUCUCCAUACCGUAUACCAAUGAAUAAGGUGUGGCUCCUGUAGAGGUGCGAAAAGAAGUCCGAUAUGCCCACAAUGCGAAAGGGAGCUUCUCUGACCAAUCCCGAGAAGUCUCAACCAUCCUCCGCAAUAUCCUCUUAAUAUUCUUAUUCGCAGCCUCUACUGCCUCAUUCGUCUACGACCUAUACGCAAACGACCUAUGAUGUCGGAUGUCGUAUCUCUGUACUAAGGUAUCAACCUCUGCUCUGAAAUGUACCCCUCUAUCUGAAAUCAACUCAUGAGGGACUCCAUAGCGACAGAUAAUGUGUGAUCUGAUGAAACUAGCAACUCCAGCUGAUGUCAAUCUCUCAUAUGAGGCGGCCUCCACCCACUUGGUGAAGUAAUCGAUGGCGACCAGGAUGAACUCAUGACCACUGGAAGAUUUCGGUGAAAUCUUUUCGAUGAUGUUAAUACCCCAUAUAGAAAAUGGCCAUGGUGAAGUCAAUGCGUGCAACUCAGAGGACGGCACGUGAAUGAGAUCUCCAUGUAUUUGACUCUUGGGACAUCUCUGAACAAACUGACAACAAUCUGUCUCCAUGGUCAACCAAAAAUAGCCAAUCCUCAUGAUUUUACGGGCCAACAUAUGCCCUCCCAUAUGUGGUCCGCAGACUCCCGCAUGAACCUCUCACAUCACUCUAUCGACAGAAGCGUAGUCCAAGCAUAAUAACAGCAUCCCAUCAGGUGAUCGUCUGUAUAGUGUCUUGCCACAAAUCACGAAUCAUGCAGCCAACUGUCUCAAUGUUCUCUUAUCCUUGGCCGUGGCGGCCUUAAGAUAUAUGCCAAGUCUCAAAAAGUGAUAUAUGUCAUGAUACCAUGGCAAACCAUCGUCUAUCUCCGUAUCAUCGAUCAGAAAACAAUAUGUAGGAGCAAAUCUGGACUUAAUCAGUAAAUGACGAAUAGUGGCAUCAGCAGGAAUGUCAAUCAUGGAAGUUAGAGUAGCUAAGGCAUCAGAAAACUAGUUAUGCGCUCUAAGCAGAUGUGUGUAUCUCAAAUCAUCAAAUCUCCCAACCAGUAGCUCCAAAUAUGGCGGUAAGGCCUAAGUUUCACAUCUCUAGUCUUCCACUCGCCCUGAAUCUGUCUCAAAACCAGAUUGAAGUCGCCAAACACCUCUAUCUAUCUAAUCCCGAGCUCAAGGGCCGUCUCUAAUCCCAAGAUACAGACCUCAUACUCAACAAUGUUGUUUGUGGCCGGAUGUCGAUCCAAGAAUGCCAAACAAAUAGAUCGGGGAAUGUGAUCACCAUGAGGGGAUAUCAACAAGACGCCUAUCCCGUAUCCAGAAUGGUUGGCUGCACCAUCAAAGUACAUGUGUCAACCUGAUAAACUAGUCACAACAGCGACAUCCUCGCCUGGGAAGUCAUCAUCAAUGGCUCUACCAUUGGAAACUAGUAAUGAGGCUAAGUGAUCUACAACAAUGCUCCCUCUUAUGGACUUCUGAGUGACAUAAUGGAUGUCAAACUCGGUCAGAAGUACCAGCCAUCUCAUGAGACGACCGAUCAAAGCGGGUCUGUCAAAAAAAUAUCUCAGAAGAUCUAGAUGGGAUAUCAAGUGCACUGAAUACUCGGUCAUGUAAUGUCUUAGUCGGUGAGUGGCCCAAACCAAUGCCAAACAGUAGCGCUCAAUCAUGACAUUCCUUGCCUCAUAGUCUAGCAUCCUCUUACUCAAAUAAUAAAUGGCUUAGUCAUUGCCUGAAUCAUCAAGCUGAGCUAACAUGCACCACAAUGCUACAUCUGAAAUUGACAGAUAUAGGAGUAAGGGACAACCUGGUGUAGGAGGCGCCAAGACUGGAGGUGACAACAAGUACUUUCUGAUCCUCUCAAAUGCACGCUGACACUGAUCAUCCCAAACAGUAGGUUGACUCUUCCUCAAGAGUCGGAAAAUGGGCUCAUAGAUGUCUGUCAAUCUGAUGAUGAAUCUACUGAUAUACUGAAGUCUACCCAAGAAGCCCCUGACCUCUCUCUCUGUCCUCGAUGCAGGCAUGUCAAGGAUGGCUCUGAUCUUAUCCGAGUCUACCUCUAUGCCUCUCUCUCUGACCAUAUACCCCAAGAGUUUCCCAGAAGUCACUCCGAAAGUGCACUUCUUGGGAUUCAGUCUCAAUUUGAACCGUCGGAUCCUCUCAAAGAACCUCUCUAGAGUUGCUAGGUGAUUUGGUCUGUCUUGGGAUUUCACUAUCAUGUUGUCUACAUAAACCUUGACAUCCCGAUGCAUCAUGUCAUGGAAGAGGGUGGUCGUCGUUCUCUAAUGGGUGGUUCCUGCAUUCUUCAAUCCGAAUGGCAUGACUCUAUAGCAAUAAGUACCCUACUCGGUAAUGAAGGACGUCUUCUCCAUGUCCUUUGGAGCCAUCAAGAUCUUAUUGUACCAAGAAAAUCCGUCCAUAAAGGACAACAUCGAAUGACCUGUCAUACUAUCAACCAACAUAUCGAUGUGUGGGAGAGGAAAAUCAUCCUUAGGACUGGCCUUGUUGAGAUCUCGGAAAUCAACACAAACUCUCACCUUGUCGUCCUUUUUGGGAACAAGGACUACAUUGGCCAGCCACUCCGGAUACUCGACCACUGACAAAAAUCCUACACUGAGUUGCUUCUGGAUCUCCUCCUUCACUUGCAAGCUCCAACGAGGGUGCAAUCAUCUCAACUUCUACUUAACCGGUCUAGCAUGGGGCAGAAGUGGCAAACGAUGUUGGACGAUAGAUGGAUCAAGGCCUGGCAUGUCCUCAUAGGACCAUGCGAAAACGUCCAAGUAUGCUCUGAGCAACUGGAUGAGGUUGUCCCUCUCAUCAUCAGAUAAAUCUGAUCUGAUCCUCAACUCCCUAGGCUGAUAUAUUGUGCCGAAAUCAACAAUCUCCAUGUCCUCUAUAGCAGGUGAAACUCUCUGAUCAAAGGGAUCCGAAUCGGAAAUAGAAGAUGAGUCAUCAUCUGAGUCGUGUUGUGCAAUCUCAUCAUCAAUAUCAAAAAUCUGUGAUGUGGGUGAAGAUGGUGCAGAUAAAACAAUAUCGUAAAAGAGAGGCAAAUUUUAAAAAAUGCUCAAAUCCAUAGAUGAAAAGUCAGAAACAUAGUCAUGAUGGGAGACAAAUCCCGAUAAAACAUCAAAUGAAAGAGGUGAGUCUACAAAGUCGAACAUUCCCUCAACUAGGCCAAUAGGGCCAUCAAGAAAAUCAUCAACAGCUAUAAUGUCCUCAGUAAUCUCCGAAGUAGGGGCAGUCUGGAUCUCCUCAGCGAUCUCAAUGAAAGACACCCCGAAGAGAUCAAAUGGUGAAGUGAGCUCAGGCUGGACUAUCUCCUCAAUCUGGCUCAAGCUCAAUGCAAGCAUCUCAUCGACGUACUCGUCACAUGGCAUAGCUCCGUCUACUAUGUCGCUAAUCUCAACAAAUGUCUUGUGAUCAUCGAUCUCAUCCAAUAAGCAAAGCGUCAUAAGGCUCGUGCGAUCUGGAGAGGCAGGAGCGAUCAACGCAGAAGUCGAAGGAUCAAGGGCUCCGUUACUCAAUUGUAACUGCUGGACGAGGCGCUGAAGCUCGGCCUCCUUGGUGGUGUUGAAUCCUCUGAUGAUCCCAUCAGAUGGUGCAUGUGACUCCGAUGCCCUCACAAAGUAAUCUGCCAGGCUCAUGGUGUAUGGGCGAACAGGAUAAUAAAAGAGCGUAUGAGUCAGUCGAGCCCUCACCCUCUCCUUGCUCAAUCGCGCCAUAUAACGAUAAUCGGCCUCAGUGGGGAUGAACCUGAGUCCGAAUGGUACGUCGUGAUCAGGGAUGGCUAUGAACUCACUAGGCCCAUGCUGACACUACCCUAACCCUAUGCCGGGAAAAUAAGGCAUACUCUGCAUCAUAUCGAGCACCACCGUGCUACUAUGCUGGUCAAAGGACAUGGCUACGAAAUCUCGGUAGAAAUCUUCUAUCUCCACGGUUUGUACCUCAUCAAAGGUGAAUCCAGUCAGAAAAAGAUCGUCAUCAGUGUGACUAAUCUCAAGCACAGGCUUGGCAAAAAUGAACAUAUCUCCCACAGACUGCACCACGACGACCUGGCCAUCGUGAAUAAACUUCACCUUUUGAUGAAGGGAAGAAUGAAUGGCCCCAGCUCUGUGGAUUCACGGUCGGCCCAGAAACAGGUUAAAGGAUGUAGGAAUCCUCAAAACCUGAAACACGGUGACAAAAGUGGCCAGAUCAAUUAGUAGUUCAAUCUCUAGUGUGCCCAUGACCUCCCUUCGAGUACUGUCAUACGCGCGAACGGUCUAAGUGGAGGGACAGAAAUCAGAUGGUGCAUAGCCGAGGGCAGUGAUGGUGGCCAGAGGACAAACGUUCAGGGUCGAGCCAUUGUCCAGAAGGACAGAUGGGACUCGACGGCCUGAACAACCAACAGAUAUAUAGAGUAGACGCGUGUGGUCUGAGCCCUCUGGUGGCAAGUCAUCAUCGGAGAAUACAAUGCAUGUGGCUCUACCGACCGUCAUCAUAUGAAUCAAUCCCUCAUGGGAGGUGGUAGUCUUAACUCUAAUCUGGCUCAGGGCUCAAAUCAGAGCAUCAUGGUGAGUGGUCAAGGAUGCCAACAAACUCCAGAUGGAAAUACGAGCCUGAGUGCUCUAUAGCUGCCUCAAAAUCUCGGCGUCCUCUACUCUGACCUCAUCGGGAACAGAUGUACCCUCAACUGGCUUAGCUGCUGCGCGAGGUGGCUAUCGCAACACUCUACCUCCUCAAAGAAUAUACUAAACAUCCAAAGUUUGAGAAUCAUCAACAUGCGGAGCUUGAACCUCCUCAACAUUCGAGAUCAAGAUGAAUGGCGUCUGGACGCUGUAAUAUGGAAAAAUCAAUGGCUCAACAGUGGUAGUCUGUACUAAUGCCACCUGGGGAACUAAUCCGAAUGAAAUGGGCAUCUGAGGCCCCAAAGUCGCUCCGUCCAUCUCAUAAAUCCCAUUUGACAUGAUAGGCUCUGGCUCAAUGUCAUCACAGCUCAACAUAUGGAUAUAGUCAUCAUGAUCAAAGAACUCCAGGAAAUGUAUGCUAUCGACCGGUGGGGGGACCACAUGUGUAGUGUGGGCAAGUAAUGGGUUUGUGGUUACACUCGGCUGACCCAAGUGCACCAAACCCUGGUCGAUCAGAUCCUGGAUGGCAUGCCUCAAAGUGGUGCAGCGAUCGGUCUCGUGUCCAGGCCCUUGAUGGUAUGCACAGUGCAAAUCCAUCCUGAAUUAAGGUGGAAUCGGCUGAGGUGGCAGCCUGGGAGUGAGAACGGUCAAUAACCCGGCCUCUGUAAGCUUCCGAAGAGCCUAGCUCAAUGGCAUGCUUAAUUGCGAGAACUACCUCUGUGUCCUCAAAGCAGAUGGAGCAAAAGUCUGCUGAGCUUUGGGUUGAGGAUAAGGCGUUGUGGGUCUCGCAGUGAAUUGAGCAGCAUAGCAUGGCUGUCCUAUGGCCGUGUAGGAAAUUGGGGGUCUCUCAAUGUCCUGGGUGGCAUAAUAAGGCAAAGCCAAAGUCUGUGGCAUGUAGACUGAUCAUAAGUCGGGUGAGGCGCUCGUGGCCUAUACUGCUGAGGUGGAUAUGAAGAAUGAGCCUCAGGAAGCUAUGGGAUCGGCUGAUGGCGCCUGGGAGGUCUCUAACUGGAAGAACUAAUGGCGCUCACGUCAACUGAUCUUUGUCCUCCAAAGGGCUUCUUCCCCUUAACAUCACUAGGGGAAGAAUCUGUCCACAAUCCUCUAGAGAUGUCGUCCUCGACAUCGUAUAAAGUCAAAACCAAUGAACCAAAAUCUGUGAAUGGUACCCUAACCACGUGUCUGGCGAUCCUGGGCUGUAAACUCCUCAAGACCAUCUAUAUCUGAUCUCUCUCUGAAGGUCUAUCAAUGAUCUCGACAAUCUUCCCACGCCAGCGGGAAAUGAAUGAAGAAACUAACUCAUCUAUUAUCUACCUCAGAGCCUCGAGCUUUCUCCUCGAUACAUCCACGACAGUGUUAAAUGAAAACUGUCGUAAGAACUCCUGGGCCAAGUCGUCCCAUGUUCGGCGUCGUGAGGACUUCAAGGAUGCAAACCAACGUUGGGCCGUCCCACUCAGAGAUAGUGGAAAUAAAGUGAUCAUCUGAGACUCAUCCAAUCCAUGAGCCCUCAUCACUGUGCUAUAGAGUCUGAGGUGGAUGCGUGGACAACUAAUGAUCGUAUAUCUCUUGAUGUCUGGCAUCCUAAACUUAGCCGGCAAACUGGCUAUCGGCAUACCCUCGAAAUCAUCCCAAACAAUUGAUCUAUCUGACACUCUCAUCUGCCUCAUACGCUGUUUAAGACAGUCCAUACGUGCAUGAGCAUCAUCAACGACAGUGGUCUGGACAACAGCGGGUGGAACAAUCUCAGAAUGUCCAUGUAAUAUAUAGGGUGAGGCCUGAGGCACUGAAGGAACGGGUGGUGGUGGUGGAUGUGGAUGUGAGUCAUACGACGUCUCAUCCUGAACUGUUGGUGGUCUACUUUGCUGACCACUGAUCUCCUGCCUGAGGCUAGCCAAAGCCUCCUGGAUAGAAGCCAUGGUAGCCGUAAACUGAUCCAUUGUAACAACCUGCUGAUCCAUACUCGGUCUCUCUGAAUACCGGACUAAUCUCCCCUCUACUCUGACCCAAGAAGGCGUAUCCAGACUGUGAACGAAGAUCCGAUCCUGAUCGAUUCUUCUCCUACUCCUCUCCUCAAGUCUCUCAAAACCAGCAUCCAAAAGCACCUCCUUCGACCUCUCCUAUCUUCACUCCCCUCAAAAGCACCAGAAGUCUCUCAAAAAUCUCUUUUGCCCCUUGCCAAAAAGCCCCCUCCUCUCCAAAAUAUCUCCCCACAAAACGCCCCCUACGCUUGCCAGAAUAUCCUCUCUCUCAUCCGAUCCUCCUAACAGACUGCGGCCUCUCUAGAAUGUUCUUUCCACGUGUUCAACUCUCAUUUGCUCCUCGAUUCCACUACCUAAUUCUCUGUCCACCAACCACGAGGUGAUACGUGGCUCCUUGAGAGCCUUCCACCUGGCAAAAUGAGUUGCAGAAAAUGCAUGAAAGUGAGGCCCCAAAAUGAGGGUCUACAAAUAGGUUUUUAGAUGAGUGUGAAUUGUGUUUUGGAAUUCUAACUAAAAAAAAUUCAUUAGAAUUGAUGAUAGUUUAUUUUAGUCUUGUUCUACUAUAAGAGGUUGAAUUAUAAAAAUUUGUAGUACAUACAUUUCUAAUAAAAAUGUUUAUGAUUUAAGUAUUGUUAAUUUUAUUAUUAAAUGAGGAAUCUACAAAAAUUUAUGAAAUUUAAUUUUGUUGAGAAUUUGAUGAAUUAUGAAGCAGAAACAGUAGCUAAAUGUGGUAGAAUUUUGAUUCAAGUUUUGGAAUUUAUGAAUUUAUUUAGAUUAAUUUGUUACCCAAAUUAAGUUACUUUUAUGUUGUUGGGCUUCUUUUAAUAAAAAAAAAAAAUCAUUAAAAUUUAUAUCUAAAUUUUAUCAAGAAUCAAGAGGAAAAAUGGACAAAAACAAAGCAUAUUUCAAUCAUUUCAUUUUUUUUUCUUGAUGACAACUUUGUUAAUUUAUAAUAUAUUCAUUUUUCUUCCAAAUUACACAAAAUUGAAAUAGUUUAAUUCUUUCUUCAGAUAAAAGUUAUCUAAAGUCAUAAAAAAAAAUGAAAUUGAUUUUAUUUUAUGUGAGGAAUUAGGUCUAAAUAUCAUAACACAGUUAGAGAUCAAAAAAAUAUAAAGAGAAAAAAAAUGACUUUUUCUAUUAAUAUAAAAGUUAAAAUUAAUUCAUUUUUUCCUUAAGUAUAUAUAUAUAUAUAUAUAUAUAUAUAUAUAUAUAUAUAUAUAUAUAUAUAUAUUUUAAAAAAAAAAGUAAUAAGCUGAAAAAUAAAUAGUUCUAAAAUGUAUUCAGUCUUGAAGCAACUUACUUUAACAUUUGAGUAAAAAAACUAAAUAAAAAAUAAAAAUAGAAAAAAUCAAGCCCUAAAGCAUUGGAUGAGCCAAUGAUCGGAUACUUGAUUUUAACUAAGCAGUUACUUGUCAAUAAUUGUGUUCAUGUUCAUCUCUGCCAAGUACCUUAAAAUGAAAAGGAACAAGUUCAUAUAAAAUCCAAUUUGUCUUUCUCACCCAACACAAUUGCAACCAUCCACCACCAAUUCAAUAUCUCGAAAAACCUUCAAUGUCUCUAAUAGAACCAAAAUCAUGUUAUAUUUGGGAACAUUAAAAUCUUGAUGUAAUGCAACAUUUCAAAAGAAUUUUUCACUUUGAUCUAUGCUCAUAUCAACAUUUCUCUUUGAUAUAGGCAUUUUUCAAAAGAAUUCACCUAUCUUUUCUUGCUAAAGCCUUAAAUUUCUCUCUUCUCUCCAUAACAAACCUUGAGCAUGCAACUUACUAAAUAGACAUUACAUAGGAUUCAAAAUUAAUUUUCAACAAUUCUCAAGUAUAGUGCCUAUUGCAUAAGCAAAUAUACUUUUAAAGAUAUUGUUGAUAGCCUUCUCUAUGCUAAUAGCACUUUUAAUGCUUGGGUUGAUCUUUAUGAUUGAUUCCACCAAAGCAAUGCCCCACGAAUCUUCCAAAUCGAGAAGCACAUAGUUGUUCUUGAGCAAAGAUCUAUGGAUGUCAACACAUACUACACUAAGCUCAAGGUCCUCUAGGAUGAGCUCAAAAAUUAUCAACCCAUUCUUGUCUAUCACUAUGGAGGCACAAAGUCUUGGUUAGACACCAACAAUAGGAGUACAUCAUGCAAUUUCUUAUGGGUUUGAUUGAGUCAAAUGCUUAAACUUGAACACAGAUCUUAAUGAUGUCUUUGCACUAGUUGUCCAAGAAGAAUGCCAAUGUACUAUUAAUCAAGGCUCUUUUUUUCCUAUCGAUUCUCUUAUGCCCAACAUUUCAAAUUCCUCUGCUUUUGUUACAACAACAAAUUUUUCUCGAAAUUCAACUUUAAAACCCAAGUGUGAGUGACCCUAAUAUUCCCACUGUGGCUUGCAAGAACAUAUUGUAAAUAAAUGCUAUCAUCCUGGCUAUAAGUCAAAAUCAAAGAAACCUGAAGUAAAAAAUUCAAGCCACCUAGGCCAAUGCAACUAUUAAUGAGACUAUUAACUCUGGUUCACCCCUUGGAUCUCUUACUUUAGCUCAGUGUCAUCAAUUGUUUGCAUUCUUGAGCUCUCAACUUCAUAACAACUUUCUUGUUAUGCUAGAAUCUCAAUAGCUAGAACCCUUUGUUUCCCAGUUCAAUGGUAUACUAUCUUUUUCUUCUGUCUCAUAAUUUUCCAAUUUCUUUUUCCACCUGGAUUUUGGACAUAGAAGUCGCACAUCAUGUUUGUUGUUCAUUAAGCACAUUUACACAAUCUACUCCAGCACAAAAUUCUUUUGUAACUUUGCCUAAUGGUCAAUCUGUUGUUAUUAAUCGUAUUGGUUAUGUGUUUUUGUCUCCUGAUCUCAUCCUUAAUAAUGUCAUGUUUGUUUCUAAUUUCCAUUUCAAUCUCCUCUUUAUCUGUUCGCUCACUCAAAGUUAUAAAUCUUCUAUUAAUUUUAUGGUUGAUUCUUGUACUAUUCAAGGCCAUACACGGACCAAAAUGAUUGGGAUGAGUAGAAGACAUGGUAGCCUAUACUUCUUAAAUAUAGUCAAUUUUCAUUCCACUACACCACAAAUUUUCAGUCCUUGUAAUAAUGUUUCGUUGUCUCAAAAUGAAAUUUGGUUUUACCAUUUAGGUCAUCCUUCUUAUGUAACAUUACAAACAUUCAAAAAUGAAAUAGAAGUUAAACCAAAUUCUGGUGAUUCAAGUCAUUGUUUAGUUUUCCAUUUAGUCAAAAGAUGCAAAUUACAUUUUAUUUCUCACAAUUAUUUGUCUGUUUUGCCUUUUCAACUCAUACAUUGUGAUGUUUAAGGUCUCCUUCACACAUUUACCAUUGAAGGUUAUAGAUAUUUUUUUUACUAUUGUUAAUGAUUGUACUCAUUUUAUUUGGGUGUAUCUUUUGCGUGCUGAGCCUGAUGUUACUGAAGUUAUUCCUAUUUUUUUUUCUCAUUGAUUCAAACUCAAUUUGGAACACAAAUAAAAUUUGUUCACUCAGAUAAUCCUCCUGAAUUGGCAUUUUUUGACUUCUUUCAUGCAAAAUGAGUCAUCUCAUUUCAUUCUUGUGUUGAUUAGCCUCAACAAAAUUCAAUAGCAGAAAGAAAGCAUCAACAUAUCUUAAAUGUUGUAUGGUCUUUAUGUUUCCAAUCACAUAUUCCAUUGGUUUAUUGGGGGGAUUGCAUUCUUAUUAUUGUACACUUAAGAAAUAAAACUGCAUUCCCACUUUUGUCCAAUAAAACAACCUUUGAACUUCUUUGGAAAAAGAAGCUUGCAUAUUCACAUCUUUGUAAUUUUGGUUGCCUAUGUUAUGCAUCUACUUUAGAUCGUCAUAGGACAAAUUUCUCACCUCAUGUCAUUCCUUUUGUCUUUCUUAGGUACCCAUCUGGUUAUAAAGAAUACAAAUUAUUGAAUCUAGUCACUAAUUCUGUGUUUAUCUCCCAUAAUGUGGUAUUUCAUGAGUCUAUAUUUUCUUUCAAAACUAUUCAAACUUAUUCUCCUCUUCCAAAUAUUUUCUCUGAUACUGUUUUACUAUUUCCUUCUUUUUCUUCCAUUCUUGAAUCUACAUCUUUGCCAAUAUCAACAAUUCCUACUGUUUUCAUACCUUCUACGUCUCAUUGUCAUCCUAAUCGUGUUCGUAGGCCUCCUUUUUAUCUAGCAUAUUACUACUGCUAUUCUUGUUCCCACAGCACAUCUUCUACCUCACAUCCUCUCACACAUGUCCUUGAUUACACAAAAUUGUCAAAUUCAUAAAAAUAAAAAAAUGAAUAAAAGUUUGUGUUAUUUCCUAUAAUUUUGAACCCACCACAUACUUCAAGGCUGCUACUAUUCUAGAUUGGCAAGAUGCAAUGUCUGCUGAGUUAGGAGCUCUUGAACAAAAUGACACUUGGUCUUUAACUACUUUGCCACAAGGAAAACAUGCUAUUAGGUGCAAAUGGGUGUACAAAAAUAAGUAUAGAGUUGAUGGAACUAUUGAACAAUACAAAGCUCACCUUGUAGCUAAAGGCUGCACACAACAAGAGGGCAUAGACUAUCUAGGUACCUUCUCUCAUGUUUUCAAAUUGGUUACUGUUAAGGUUUUGCUUGCUUUGGCUACCAUUAAUGGUUGGAGCCUUCCUUAGAUGGAUGUCAAUAAUGUGUUCUUACAUGGUGAUCUUUUUAAGGAAGUUUAUAUGACUCUCCUAGUUAUCACCUGAAGGAAAAUCAUUAUCCUCACACUCUGUUUACAAAAUUCAAAAGUCUUUAUAUGGCUUGAAACAAGCAUACGACAAUGGUUUUCCAAACUCUCCAAUUUCUUACUUGUUGAAGGUUUUUAAACAUUCUAAUGCAAAUCACUCUCUUUUUGUCAAAGUUGUCAGUACUCACUUCAUUGCUCUGUUAGUUUAUAUGGAUGACAUUGUCAUUGUUAGUAAUAGUGAUGAGCGAGUUGAGAAAUUAAAAGUUCUAUUUAGGAAAGCUUAAAUACUUCUAAGGCCUUGAGGUGGUGAGGUCUAAUAAGGAAAUUUCCCUUAGUUAGCACCAUUAUGCCUUACAAUUACUAUCAGAUAUAGGCUAUGUUGGUUGUAAAUCAAGGAAAACACUUAUAAAUCCAAAUGUGAAGCUCACACAAGACAAAGGUGAUCUAUUAAAAGAUCUUUUAUUUUACAGAAGAAUGAUAGGCAAAUUGCUUUAUCUAACCGUAGCAAAUCCAGAUUUAUCAUUUUCAGUACAUAAAUUCAAUCAAUUUCUUGCAAAGCCCAGAGUUCUUCAUAUGUGGGCAAUACAACAUGUGCUUCAGUACUUGAAAGCAUGGUUUGAAAUAUUGGUAAACACGGAUAUAUCGAUACUUGGAUUUUAUGAAUAUGUUGGAAAUAUUGGUAAAAUAUCGGUAAAUAUUGGUAAAAUAUCGGUGGAUAUUUUGGCAAAAAUAUUGGUGAAACAAAAAUUAUUCAAAAUUCAUGGAAAUGUUUGGAAAACUCUAAAAAAAAUGAUAAAAUAAGCAAGAAUACAUAUGUUAAAGUUAUUGUAAGUGGAAUUGACAUAAAUAUGGUCAAUGAGAAAAAUAUGGAGGGAUAUAUCAAACUUAAUAAUUUAUUAUUUAUCUUAUCAAAUUAAUUUUAAUUUAUAAAAUAUUAGAACUUCAUUAUUUUUUUUAUUUUAGUAAUGUUUUGAAUACAUUUAUAUUUUUAAUAUUUGUAAAAUAAAAACAUUCAAAAUUAAAUAAAAUUAAAAGGAUAAACAUAAAAAAAGUGAACUGAUAGCAAUUUUUAAAAAUAAGAUUAAUGAGAUAAAUGAUGAUACAUUUAAUAUUAAAACUAUAAUUUAUUUAAUUCAAAUACAUUCAACAAUGUAAAAUAAAUUAUGAUGCAUAUAUAAUUUUUUUGAUAUUUAUAUUUUUUUUAUAUAAUUGUCAUAUAAAUGAUAUAAAAAAUAAAAUAAAAUAAAAGACUUGUUAAGAAAAUUAUAAUGAUGGUUUUAUACUUUUAUUAAAUAAUUAAAUAAAAUUUUAAAUAAAAUAAUUAGAAUUAAUUUAUUUAUUCUUUUAAUGAUGAAUUUUACCAUAUUUAUUGUGAACAUAUAUUUACAAAUGUGGACUUGGCCCAAUAGUAGUCAGGCUUCACCCAAGCCUUUUGGCCUAGGUUUGAAUCCCCUUGGAUGCAAUAGAAAAAAAUUUGAAGGAAUUUACCCGAAUAUCGACAUCUUUUCGAUGAAGUUGAUUGACUUUCGGUGUACAAUAUCAUGUCGACUCUCCCUGAUAUUUUGACGAUCAACUUUUAGUGUGGAAUAUUGUGUUAGCUCUCCCUGAUAAGCAAAAUAUCGACAAUAUUUCAUCAAAAUUUUGCAACAUUUUAGUGUGGAAUAUCAUGUCGACUCUCCCCAAUAUUUCAACAAUCGACUUUCAGUGUGGAAUAUCGUGUUAGCUCUCCCUGAUAAGCAAAAUAUCGACAAUAUUUCGCCAAAAUUUUGCAACAUUUCAAACCAUGCUUGAAAGUUAUGCAGGACAAGGUUUUUUUUUUUUUUUUUUCAUUAAUAGAGUUGAAAAGGUUUGUUGAUUCAAAUUGGGCAACUUGUGUGGUCUGUUAAUGAGUUUUGCUUUUUUUUAUUUAUUUAUUGUUGAUUCCUUAAUUUCCCAGAAAUAAAAAAGGCAGCAUACAGUUUCAAGAUCUUUUGUUGAAGUUGAGGACAAAUUUAUGGCAAAUGCAACAUGUGAAUUGAUGUGGUUACUUUCUUUAUUUAGAGAUUUGCAUGUAUCUCGUCCUAAGCCUGCCUUGCUAUUUUGCAACAAUCAAGCAACUCUUUAUAUUGUAGCUAAUCCAAUUUUUCACAAGCACACUAAGCACAUUAAGAUCGAUUAUCACUUGGUUAGAAAGAAACUGCAAAAUGGAAGCUUGAAGACACUACAUAUUUCAUCUAAACAUCAAGUGAGAGACUUGUUGACCAAACCUUUUUCUUCACCUCAAUUUCUUUUUCUUCUUAGUAAAAUCGAAAUUCACAAUAUUCAUUCUCCAUUUUGAGGGGGAGUAUUAGAAUAUUUGGGUAUCUUGCAGUAUGGUUACAAGUUAAGUAAAGAAUUGUUAGUUUGUUAAAUAAUUGUUAGCUUUUUUUUUUUUUUUUUUUUUGCAACUAGAUGUGUCUAUUCAAUAACUUCAUAUGGUUAUAGUUAAUUAAAGAAUCCUUUACGUAUUAACUGUUAAAAUAAUUUGUUUCCAACUUUCCUAUUAAAUUUUCUUCUGCUCAAGAUUUCAAAAAUUAUAGUUCAAGAAAGCUCUUUCGAUUUCUAUGUUGCACUGUAUCUUCUUAUAUGUUAGUACAAAUCAUACUCCUCUUUUUACCUCUUCAAUGAAUCCUUUUAGGAGUAAGACCACCAAGUGAGCACCCUUAUAUUGAUCCACAAGCUUUUUAUUACAUAUUUUUUGUUUGUGCACACCACCUCAAAUUUAAGUGGCCCAUAAAUUUUAUACUUUGGAUACCUUACCAUCCAAUCAUAAGCAUAAACUAAAUUUGAAAGGAUAAGAUUAGUUUAUUUUAGAGAAAUUGAGCUCCAAGUCCCCUAGCCAAACAUGAAGUUUUGAAGCAUGAAAUUUUUGUGAUGGGACAUAAUUGCAAUCCUUAUUAAAUUGAUCAAUUGUGUUAUGCCAAGAAUGCAAAUUAUGCAUGGCAAAGUGGUUAGAAAGUGUACAAAUGCACCAUCUUUUUACUUGUUUGUUUACUCAAAUUUCUCGGUCAAUUUUUUUUUUUCAUUCUUAUCCCUCUUGAUUGAGGCAAACAUGUUUUGGCUAGUGCUCUCAAAUUCCUUAAAUAUAUUCUUUUCAAUAUUGUAAACAUUUGGCUUGGUCAUUGUUAUAGUUAUCAAUUGUGUCAACUUUUACUUUCUCUCAUCCCCAAUUACAUAUGCACUUUGUAGCUUUAAUUUUUUUUUAGUGAUUAAUCUUAGUUUUUAUCUAAUUGUUUGCCUUAUAGUCUUUGACAUAACUAUAAGUGUAACAUGUACCUCUCACAAACCAAAAGACAUCACUUGUCUUCUUUAAUUUAAACAUUUUUGCAUCUGUGUAAGAUCUGAAACUAGAAUUUCACAACAUCGCGUAGUCAUUUUCUCUAGUUGUUUCUCAAAGCUCUCUUCAAGAUUUAGUUCAUGUUCAAUUACCAACUUUGAGUUUUCACUUUUUUUUUUUCCCAUGAGUCAUGAGGAAAUGAAUUUCAACUGUGUUUCAUCUAUCCAUCUCUCUUAAAUUGUUUUAUUCGAUAGUUACCAAUUGUAGAAUUGUUUUUAUAUAUUCUUUUCAUAGAUAUUGUUAAUAAAUUAUGCUAAAUGAGUAGCUUCCUGAUGUGGUGAGAGCUAAUUUUGUUAUUGCUAGGAUAAUAUCUUUUUAACUUUCUUAACUUUUUCCGAAUUAUAAACCACUCAUGCUUUGACCAAUCUCCAUGUGUUUUUCAUUUGUUUGGAUUUAUGGGCUUUUGAUUCUAUUUGGUGAAUAGAUAAUAAGGAAUUAAGGAUCUGAGAUUGACAUUACUUUAAGGAUGUUUGAAGAUGACAUAGUGAAGCAUAGAAUAUUUUUUUGGGUUGUAUCUCCUCAUUUCCCAUACUUAUGGUGGACAUUGAUGAGUUGGAUUAUUUGAAUGAAAUGAGCUUUGGAAAAAUACUAGUAAUUACAUGAAUUGUUGCAAUAUAUUUGAGUGAAAAUAUUAUGUUAGUGUCUCUCCAUGUCACUAAUUCAAACCUGUUACUUUCCAUUGUAAGUGGUAGAAAUAUAUUUUUUAUUUUCUAGAAAACAUUACUCUAACUUGUGAAAAAGGUUCUUAUGCCUCCAUAUUAAAUGUUAUAUGAUGGAAAAAAAACUUGAAUCUCUCUGUUUCCUCAGUCUGGAUCAGGUUAGGAAUAUGCAUAACUAUCCUAGGCUUUUUCUAAAUUCUAUGCACAACAAAAAAAUUAAUUUUUUUUAUACUUUAUAAGGAUCUAGAAAGUGCUAACGAAAACUAUACCUCAAAUUCGGAUGCUCCCGAGUCUUCCGCUCGAUGACUCAAACCUUGAUCUUGGCACACUUCUAAUGGGGAGGAAAUGAGGGUGGAGGCUAUAGUUUUCUCUCUCUCUGGAUGGUGGACGAUAAAAGCUAUGGAACCCCUAACCUCUAGGGGGUAUUUAUAGGGUUCCUAAGUGGGCUUAAGUGACUUGAGCCCAUACAGGCUUGGGUCACUUAAUCUAACCCAAAAUGAGUUCUAACUGAUUAAUUAACCCAAUAAGGCUUACUAAUUAAUCAAUUAGCCCAAUCAAGAGACCUUGUUCACUUACCCCUAUACAACCUUGCGUAAUUAUCAAAAUGCCCUUAUGCACAGAAGUGAACUUAGAGUCAAUUCAACCCUCAUAACCCAUGCCAACAAGGUAUAUGAGUUCAAAGUGGGGACCAUUGGGACCCAUAGAAAUACUGACUCCCUCAAAAUCAAAUUCUAAAGUUGAUUCAAUAUCACACUAUAGAGAAUCAACUAAACUCCAAUAUCUUAUGUAAAUAACAACGAGACACUAAGUGAUCGGGUCUGUGACUUGCUAUCCAUUGUGUUCAGUCUCCCCAUGAACUAAUGUCCGUAGUUUAAUAAGGUGAAAGCUAUUAGUCUUUCAAGACUACCUCUACCUUCUAUUUUGUGUUCAAUUGACAUAUCUUAGCUCUCAAAGAGCCUAUGUCAAGUUCCAUUUAAUGAACUACAUGACCAUAGUUUCCAUGAACACACCUCCUUAAGAUCACCCAAGGGGACACACUAUCUCAAUCCUAAGAGAUAUCAUAGUGCCUCUAUUGAAAAUACCUAUUACUACCAGCUUCUAUCAACAAUGACCCAAUCCAUACGGAAUAUAUGAUCAGCUUACGAUUUCACCUGUAGGUCAAAGUCAUUGCCAACUUUAGCACAAGCUUAAUAUUCUCUCAAGGUUGAGAGACAACACAAUGAAACAGCUUGGUGAGGUCAUGACUCAAUAAUAGCCUUAAGUCAUGACUCACCAUAAGUCUUGUCCAAUGUGUAACCAUACAUACUAGUGCACUCACCAUGGGAAACCCAUCCUGAUAACCAAGACCAGUGAUCCCUCCAAUUAGGAGGUGGUGCACUACAACCUUUAAUGGGUUGCCUAGACCCAUGAACCAAUUGUAAACAAGUCAUCUAUUUGCAAGGAACCCAUGACUUAGAUCUUCUGUGCAACUCCUAAUGCACCUAAGUCACGUACAAUACAAAAAAUGCAGACAAGAAUGCUCAUAAAGUAUAAUAUAUGGAAUAAGAAUAGAUAAAAGUGAAACUGGAACAUCAUUAAAUAAAUAAUGAAUUCCAAAUUUAUUACAUCAUGUCAUGAUUUUAAGUGCUUUAUCCUAACAUUAUAUAUUUGAGAUAAACAUGAUAUAAUGAGAUUUAUGUUUCUUUGUUAUAAUAUUUCAAUAAGUAAUUGUGUUUUAAUUUUAAUAAACUAUGCAUGCAUGAAACAAUUCAAGUAUCAUUAGCAUCAUUGGUAUCAUUGUGAGACAAAAGUUUCUCUUAUUACAUACUAAAGAGAUUUAAGUUAUCAAAAAGUGAAAACGGUUUUAUCUAGGCUAGUUUCAAGUUGACAACUUUUAAAUUGUUUAUCAUGUGAUAAAGAACUUUUCCCUACAAAUGAUACUUGAAUUGUAUAAUUAGACAGUGUAGGAAAACAUAAUAUCUAUGAAGUUAACUGUUUAUUCUUAAUUCAAUUUUUAGAAAUUUUGGUAGUCUUUCCUCUUAUUCUCUGGGUGCAUAUUUGGAUAAAGUUGCAUAGUAUGCCUUGUCCAUUUUACAUACUUAGAGAACUAUAAGGAAAUUCUACUAAAACUUCUUUAAAAUGAAAUUGACCACAUUGGUCAUUGACACAUAGAGAUUAUGUAUUUCUAUAUGGGAUAGGAACUACUACCGAAUUUAGGAUGUUGGAGAUGUUAGAAUGCAUAAAACAUGCAUCAAAAUUUGACAUACUCAAAUGAUUUUCUUUAUUUAGUAAAUUAGUAUAGAUAAUGUUUGAUGCAAAGGUCAUGGACAAACCCAAUAUAAUAAUAUUAAUAUGCACUAGUUUUAUUGAGGUUAUACAUCCCUUUUAAUGCAAGUAUUCAUGGUCAACAACAUUUAUAACUUAUUAGUCACUACUACAAAUAAGAUAUACCAUGACCUUGUUUUUUCCUUGGCACUUUUAAAAAUGUUAAUAAUUAGCGUGAUAUUUCAAAAGUGUAGAUCUAUGUUCAUAGAUCAAAAUGGUUAGAACAAUGCUUACUUUUUUUCUUUUAAAUUUGGCAUCUUAAAGAAAUGUUGAACUACACUUUCUUGAUUAUUAUUUGAACAAAAAAAAAAGGUUGUUAAACGAAUAGCAUAGAAAAUGUUGCUAUUUUCUUCAAUUUGAAGUUUGAUCACUAUUGAAAGUUUGUUCUUAAAAAAUGGAUCAUUUGUGGAUUUCAAAGGAUAGAGGACUAAAGGAGUAUGGGGAUGGGGUAGAACAUUUUUAUCACAUUUGCAAUAUAAAAUUCUGCAUAUAAAAACUCCAUUAAAUGUCCAUGCUUGUAGAGUGGUAAUAUGAUAUUUCAUACUCCUCAAAGAUUUCCUCAAAGAUUUCCUCAAAAUAUUAGAGAGCAUAUGUUUUUCUAUAGAAUUAAUCAGAAUUACCAUAUAUGUUAUUGGCAUGGGGAAGCAACUCCAAGUGAACCACCAACUAGAAGGGUAGAACAUUAUAAUAUGGUUCAAUUUAAUGAUGUAGAUAGUACAAUAGAAAUGGUUGAAGUUGUACAAGUUGAAUGUCAAAAUGACCUAAAAUUGCUUGAAAGAUUACUUCAAAUUGUUGAAAAACCUUUUAUAUCCUAGUUGUAGAAAAUUCACACAAUUGUUUGCAUUGGUUAAAUUAUACAACUUGAAAACACACUAUGAGUGGUCUGAUAAAAGCUUUUCAGAGCUUUUAAAAAUGCUUAGAUAUAUGUUGCCUCUAAAUAAUGAGUUACCCUUGUCUAUGUAUGAGACAAAAAUGGCAUUGAAUACAUUAGGAAUGGAAUAAGAAAAAAUACACGCAUGCCCCAUGAUUGUAUACUUUACAGGAAUAAGUUGAAAGAUGCAUUUCAUGUCCUAUCUAUGGAACUUCAAGGUGAAAGGUAGAUAAUAUAGGAACUAAAAAAAUGACAGGAACUCCUGGGAAAGUAAUGUGGUAUUUUCCUCCAAUUCCAAGAUUUAGAAGAAGGUUUCAAUCAUAAAAAAUCGUAAAAGACCUCAUAUGGCAUACCUAAGGAAGAGAUUUAGAUGACAAAAUGUGUUAUCCAGCUGACUCUCUAUCAUAGCUAAUUGAUCAUAAAUGGCCCAACUUUGUUUCAAAACCUAGAAACUUGAGACUUCCCAUUUUAGCAGAUGGUAUAAAAUCCUCACAAUUCAUUGAUUAGCAAAUAUAGUUGUUUGUCCUAAAGAGCUCGAAGCAGCAACUAUGGACAAUGUUUUUUUUAUCAUAAAGAGUAAGUUAUGGGCAACACUAUGGCUGUAAAUAGAGGUAAAACCUUUAACUUGUUUUUAGUUUGAUUUUUCUUUUCUUUCAUAAUGGAAAUAGAAAAUCAUCUAAACAAAUAGGACCUUAAUAAUUUUUUUUUUCUACAAUUUAUUUUUGAAUAAAAUAAUUUAAAAGAUUCCAUUCUUAUAUUUGUUAGACUUUUUUUUAAUGAAGAAAAAAAUAGUCUCCCUUUUAGCAUAUAUAUUAUAUAUGAUUAACAAUGGGUAUAAUAAAAUUUAUUUAAUAAAUAAUUGAUGUGACAUUCUAAAUUGAAAGUCAUAAAUUAGCUCAUUAGUUUGAUGUUGGCCCUAAAACUACAAGACUUGAUUACAUACUUAGAUUUUAUUCUUGAAAUUUAAGAGAUAAUUGAUGUGACAUCUUGAAUUGAAAGUCAUAAAUUAGCUUAUUAGUUUUAUGUUGGCACUAAAACUACAAAACCCAAUUACAUAAAUUUUGUUCUUGAGAAAUGUCAUUAUGGUUCAUAGUAAGGCUUAGUUUGGUGUGUUAGACCAUGCAUGCAUGAUAUCUCUUCACAUUCUCUUGUUUUUUGACAAACAUGCUACCAUACUUAAGGUGUUUGUCAAGGCUCAUCUUGGACUACUCAAAACUUUGGGGUCCUUUCUUUGAGUUCACAAGCUUCUUUCCCCUAGUGUCAACCCCAACUCCCAAAAUCCACUCCUUAGUAGUGCACUGACGAAAUCUACAAAUGCACUAUAAAGUGAGAAUGGCAUCAUGAAAAUGUAUUAAUGCAUCGUAGAUGUGGGAACUUAAAAAUAUAUAUAUAUAUAUAUAUAUAUAUCUAGAGUUUAGACUUGUUUCUAUUAAUUAGAAAUUACUAAGCAAUGAAUCUUGCUAGUGUGGAAAGUACCAAUAGAUUGACCAAGGAAGGUAUAUGUAAAAAAGAUUGACAUUGUCAAUUGGAAAAAUUCCUUUACAAACGUCAACCCUAUCUUCCUAACCAUCAUGGAUGUUGAGAAGUAGAUAUCGAUGACUAUGAUGAGGAUCACAAAGGAUUAUCAUACCAAGGAGUUAGACAUUUGUUGGGUUAUCAACAAUUUUAAUGAGGGUGGUAUUAACUAUUUGGUUGUUGAUAGUGUAUUGCGUAGUUCCACCAAGCCAAUCUGCUCCUGCAUUGAGAUCAAUCUCGAUGAAAAGGUAGCAUAUAUUUUUCAUUUCCUAAUUCUAUCAAUUGCUUCAUGGUGCCUUUGUCUAAUAAGCUUAACAGGUUCUUCUACAUUUUCACCAUUUAAUUCUCUAACGUUCAUCAUGAUAGGGUUGAAAUUUCAUCAUCAAAUCAAAACAUAUCCUCCUAUAAGAGGCCUUUGAAUUCUGAAAUAAUCAAUUCACUUUAUUCUCAUAUUGGCAAAGACAAGCUUACACUAUUGGAAAGACUACCCCUAACCUUUGCCCUCCCAAAUAGCAAAGAUGAGAGAGAACCUUUCACAAAAUCACAAGAAUUAUUCAAGUUUGGAAUUCAUAGGCAUUGUUAUUGAAUUUCAUUUGUAUAAAAUUGGUGUGUUGUGUUUAUUUUGUUGGUAUUAAAAUUGAAUUUUUUUUAAUUGCAAAUUGAUGAUUUUUUUUCUCUCUCACAUUUAUACCCAUUAGAGUUUCUUAUUAGGGUUUGUGUUUGAAAUUUGGAGAAAGUAUGGUGCAAUUGUUCAUCGGUGUGGUGUACCAUUUUGUUUGUUGUAUCUAAUAUUUGGGUAUUUGAUUUAAUUUUAUUGUUGUUGAAAUUGAAAGUUGAAAUCCAAGUUAAUUGUUUAACUAGCUAUUUGUAGUUGACUUGUUUUGCACCAAUCUUGAUUACCCAUUUCAUGGGAAUAAUCGAUUCCAAUUUUCCUUCAUGGUUACUAAAAAUAUAUUGUAGGUGAAGGACUAUUAUGGAGUAUAUUAAUUCACAAGAAAAAUGUUCCUUUAGUUAGUAAAAACUUCAUUCAUGUGGUCAUUUAUGAGCAUCAUAAUAAUCCAUAUUAAAAAUAUUUAAAAACAUUAAUGCACUAAAACAUUGAUUUCAUCAACAAAAAUACACUCAUUCUUUUGACUUAUAGCAUUCAAAGAUGUUUAAAAAUAUAUAUGUACAAUAAAACAUCAUCGAAUUUAUUAACAAUUAAACUUUUAACCCCAAAACAAUCCGUUACUUUAGUAGAUAAGACACUAUUGGAAUAACAUUAUUUUUAGCUCAAGUUAGAAGUUAAAAUGAUAAGGUUAAAAGAACAAAACCAACAAAAAAAAAAAGUUAUUUUUUGUCAAACUUGACACUAGUACAAUUUAAAUAAUGUAGCUCAAUGCCCUAUUGAAUUGAGUCAUAUAACUAGACUCCCUAAUUAUAUAUUAUGAUACACACACAACCUUUGGUCUAGUAUACAUGAUUAAAUUAAAUGCCAACCUAGUUUGCAAAGCUAAACUGGAAUCCCAAAUCUAGUUCAUUAUAAAUACUCUUCAACCAACUUGCUACAACAUUCAAAUAAGACAAUGACAAUGAUAGAAAACCAAAAAAAUACCUAAUAUAUCAUUGAAAACUCCUUCCUAAAGGAGGUAAAAAAAAUCAUGAAGUAACUUUCUUCUAUUAAUAAAAAUGGGAAUACAAUGAUCUAUAUAGUGUUUUAACUCGAAACUGAUGGUAUUACAAAUAUUAAAGAAGAAAUUUAAAACACACACACACACACACACAACAAGCAUGUUGUCAAGCUUAUAAGAGUUGGAGAAAUUUCUCCAUAUAAAUCUUCAAAACAUGAUGGAGAGUAACCUUGACAUUUAAGUCAAUAAUAUACAAGGAAAGACAACCCAAAAAGAUACAACUUUGAGAACAAACUCUCCUUUUUGCUUUUUUACAUAACCUUUUUUUUUUUUUUUUCCUUUUUGAAAACUUCUCUCCUUUCCUCUAAUUGUUACACCAUACAACAAUCCUAAAAAAACAGAGUUUAAAGGCUUGUUUGAUAACUGUUUUUAAAAAUAAUUUUGAAAAAUAGUUUUUGAAAAUUAUUCUCUAAUGUUUAAUUUGUAGAACAAAAGUUUGUUUGGAAACCCAAAAUAUUUUUAACAUGUUUUUAAUGUUGUUAAAUAUGUUUUAAAAAUAAUUUUUAUGUUUAGUAUUUUAUUUUUAAUCAUUUUAUAUGUUUAUAUAAUUAUUUUUUAAGGCAAACCUUAAAAAAUAAGUGAAAAUAACAUAAAACACUUAAAAGAUAUUAUCUGAAAACACCUUAUUUUAUUGUAACAGAAAAUAAAAAGCGGUUUUUGGUUGUCAAACAUGUUUUCUUAAUUUUUUAUUUUGAAGAAUAGAAAUUUGUUCUUGAAAAUAUCUAGUUAUCACAUUAGUUAUUGCCCAUUUUAUGAUUUUAAUUAUUGCUUAAAAACUAGUUUUUCAGCUAAAAAAGAAGGUCCACUACUUAUGGGUCAAACCUUCAACUUUCAAACCCGAACACAAAGUUAUAGUCAAGACUAAUAUUCACAUAUUAGUAUUAAUAUAGUUCAUUAAAUAUGAAUUUCUAUUGAAGCCAAAAUCGAGUUUUUAGGGGAAGUAACAUUCACUUUCAAUUAAGCAAUUUUUAACUCAUAAGUUAGUACUUGUAACAAAAUUUCUUAAUAGAGACUUUAAUUGAGUUUUAAGAAGAAUUUUUUGUUUGUUAAAAACCAAUUCAAACAAAAUCUAAAACUAAUAUUAUUAUCUAAAAGACAUAAUGAACAACAUAAACCAUAAACCAAAGUGGUAGUGACAACCAAUAUGUAGCGUCAAUGAAUAAUUGAAAAUAACCUCAUUUUCUAAUGACCUCGAACCUAGAAGCUCUAAAAUUCUUGCCUAAUUCCUUGUGAUGACUUUGGUUCAACCUUAAUGGCGAGGGCAAAAUUCUAAAUAAUUUUUGUCACAACUCAUAAAUUUAGAAGAAAAAAAUGAGAAUAAAUGGAAUCCCUAAUGAGAAAUUGUUAUUUUUCCCCUUUAUGACAAAAAUAGUAACCUACUAGUAUUAUUAAAUAACAUGGAAAUUAUUAUUUCAACUUUAAUACCAUGUAUGACAUAACUUUAACAACCUUAAUUUAUAAGAUUAUUUAAUUUAAAAGGAUAAAACAAUUACAUAUUCAUAAGAAUCGCUUCUAUUUUUUAAAAACAAUAAAUUCCAUUUUUUGGACAAAAAUACCCUCCAUUGUUUUUAUCAACAUUUCACAAUCAAACACUUAUUGGAAAAAAAAAAGUAUAAGGGUAGCUAUAUUAAAAUGAGGUUAUAAUUAUAAUACUCAAUAAGUGGAGAUUUUUUUUCCAAAUAUUGGGAUCAUCUUCUCCAUUUGACACAAAUAUUUAUAAUUUAUAUUAUAAUUACUCUUAUAGUAAGAGAGAAAGAGUAAUUUCACAUGAAAUGGACCCAUAAACAUAGAUUUAUUAUGAGGCAUGAUACUAUAAUAAUAAUAGGAAAUAAGACGAGACGUGAUACCAUAAUAAUAGAAAAUAAGAUAAGUAAUUCAAUACUUAAUGAAGGUCUGAAAUAAUUAUGUUUCUCAUUAAAUGAUAUUAAAGACGAAAAAAAACUUAUUAAUUUUUAUUUUAAGUAUUAAGAUUAUUUAAUAAAAUUAACUUAAAAUUUAUUUUAAAUUAUCAAAUUGAUAUAUUUAUUUUCAUAGAUUAUAACUAAGGUAAAUGAAAUCAAGUAAUAAUGGAUGUCAUGUAGUGAAAGAGAUCCUAGAGGCAACGGGACAAAUUGUGGUAAAAAAUGUCAAAUAAAAAUACGAACUUAAGAACAAAUUAAUUGUUUGUACUUAUUACUUAAAGUUGUUAUUUAUUUUAUAUUAUUAAAUUAUUUUACUAAAUAUGCUUAAUUUAUUUAAUGACUUAAAUUAAUUUAUUAGUCACUUUAGGCUAUUAAAUCGGGUUUACCAAUCAUAUCGAAUACAUUUGGCUAGUAGGCCAAGACUCAAGAAUAUUGCUAUCAUAUGUUUUAUGUAUUAAGGUGCCAAGAAUAAUUCACCACAAAAUAUAUGAUGAGUUGAUAAGUAUAGGAUACAAUCUAAAAUAUGCACUUGAUUUCAUCAUCUAAAUAAAUGCUCUCGGCAAAUGGAUCAUCCUAGCUGAUACCAGAGCACAAGCCGCCAUGGACAGGAGGCAACGGAGAAACCCUUCUGCUUCUUCUUCUGCCUUUUCAUCUCCAGCUUCAUCCUCAUCGCGUUUCCGCUCAGAGAAAUUCUCCUCGAAUCCCCCAAAAACUAGUAACUCCCUGGAGGAUGCUCACCAAUUGAAAAGCAAAUGUGGGAAGCCACAAAGACCAAAGCAAGAGGAGGAAGGAGAGCAAGAUCCGAACAAUCUUCUCUCCUUAGUUGGAACUUGCCCAUUCAUGUGCCCUGGUAAAAAUGCGUGCUUAUUUUUCCAUUUUUUUAAAAUUCUAUUUUCCUGUUAUUCUGUGUUUGGUUUCCGAGAAAUUGGAGGAAAACAGUAGAAAAGAGAAGUGAAUCUGGAGUUUCUGUGUCAUUUUUGUGGCUUUUACAUAAAUUUUACAAAUAAAAUUGAUAUUUCUCCCCCUUUAUUAGAUACCAAUCUGCAGAAGAUGUAGGAAUCCCAAAAAAAAAUUCGCUUUUGCCUUUACUUCCCCCAAAUCUUUCAUAAUGGAAAAUGGACUUACCACCUCUUUUAUCACUUUUCCUUUACCAUGUCAGGUUUACAUGUAAUCAAACACUGUAUUUGGAGUAGGGCACUUAUUCUAAUGUCAAAUGGUGUUGAAAACUUGAAUUACUGGAUCUUAAGACUCCAGAAGAAAUUUGAUUGUUUAUGAUUAUUGCUCCAUGAGAAGGGAAAGGGAUUUCUUUUGUUUUUGCUCACAUAUAUGGCCAAAUUGAUUUAUCUCCUUCUCAUACGAACAAAAUAAGGACAUUUCUUGUCUUGCUGCCUUUUAUGCCACCGGUUCCACAUGCUGAUGUGACAACCCUUUUGCUAUUCUGUACAAAUGGUAGGAAAAUUCUGGUAAGACUGGUGGCCAGCCUAUCAUGUUCAGGGAAUAAAUUCAUUGUAUAUCUGGAAUUCACUCUAUAUCAGCAUAGGGUGUUGAUACUGAUUAUAAAUGACAAAUUCAAUUUAUUAUCCUUACAUUAGGGAGUGCUAAAAGGAUGCAAAUUGUUCAUGUUAUACCCAAAGACAUACAAGUGAUGCUAGAGAUUUUCACAAUGUGGAUAAUCAUAGAGUAGAGAUGAACACUAUGGAGUCUUUUGGCAUGUGUUCAUUCCAUGUACGGGAACAUGCAUUGGAAGAUUAUGUUUCCUCCUCCCUUCCCCUCCCCAAAGUUAAUACUAUGUUGUCAUGGCAAGAACUUUGGUGACAUGCUUCUGAGUGGAAUAGCCUCCUAGAAGUCCAUUUAUGUGGCAGUUGGCAAGUUCUUCCGGUCAAUGAGAACUUUGUGACUGUCUGAUUGUUGUACUAAUCAUCAUCAGAUUUUUUUUUAAGUUCAAGUUGUAAAUAGCCUUUCACAGUUGAAGGUAGCGAUGAAGAGGCCUGUUGACAUAAUUAUUUCUUCUGCUUGAAUGGAUUAAAAUCAGAUACCACACCUUCAGCCUAGAAAACUAUGGACUUUCCUAUGUACCUGCAAUUGGCUGAAUACUGGUGUGGCACUGACUAAAGGCUCUCUGAUGCUGUUAUUAAUUUCCUGAGCAAAUUAGAGAAAACAGAGAGGUCAUAAUGUGAAUCAGUUACCUCUUGAGUAGGGAUGAAGGCUUUUUAUAACUUUUUACUUUCUGGUUAGGCCUUGGAAGCACUUCUGUGAACCAUGAUUUUGUACUGUAAAAUUAGAUGGGAUGGAUAGGUCACCUUAACUCUACUUUUGGAAGUGAUUGGGGAGCGCAUGACUGUAUGAAUAUUGAUGUGUUCUCCCCAUACAGAGCCCAACUUCUUUUUGAACUAGGAAGCAUGAAGGGUGGGUGGAUGUGGGCUGAGGAAGGAAGAUUUGACUUGUGUGCCGCAGGCCUGCGGUACCAAUUUGUUCCAGAACUUGAUAAGGCCCAUAAACUGGUAGGCAAGUUUCAUUAUUUGGUCACCACUGAAUUUUGGCAGUAUGGCCACAAGGAAGGUAGGAAGGAGAGGGAGAAGAGAAAACCCCAAUUGCCAAUUGCAAGCUUCCGGUUGGCACAGUGCUCAUUGCUGACAUUUUCAUUUGAUUUUGACCUUGCAACAGAUACAGCUUAACAUGAUGGACCAGUUUUUCACAAUCUUGUGAUUCAUUACCCAACUUCUAGUAACAGUUUCUCAGCAGAUGACUCACCUAUGACAGGCUGAUGAUGUCUGCACACAACUUGAAAGGUAUUCAUGCCAAGGUGUGAAAGGUAAUAUUGUGACACCAUUUUGCCUAUUCCAGAAAAUGUAACAAAUGUAUGGCUGGUUCUUGACCUAAAAAUGCUGGCAUUGGUCACCAAGUGCUAGGGUGAUUCUUGACAAAAAAUGUUCGUAUUGUUCAGAACAAUGAUUUACAACUUCAGAUUGGCCAUCCAGUUAACGAUGAUAAUCACUUGUUUUACAAAGUUCAGUGUCAUAAAAGCAAAAUAAUUUUGUCAACAAAUAUGCGGAUAACUUUAUCAUAAUUACUACUUAUGGAAGUUAAGGAUAAGUUGGGUAAUGUGAGAAAGUUUUGGUCAGAGGAUAUGAGGAUAAAUUUGUUGCAAUUGCUAAGCUUCACCUCCUAGGACUACUAGGAGAAACGUAUGAGCAAUAGAACAAAUUUACAGUCCAUCCCCAUUAGCUGCAUGGAGAGGUUGGGCUUAUUGCUGCUAUGGUGGAGGUCACCUUCUUGUAGACUUUGAAAUCUGCGAAUGAAGAGGCAGAUUUCUUAGAGGAAUUGGUAGGACUCCAAGCCCCCCAAAUGACAGGGGGGUGGGGAGGAUGGGGGUGGUGGGGGGCCAUUUCUAAUUUCAUGUCUUCUCAAUGUGGAUUUGAGGUUUAACGAGAUUUUUGGGAAAUCAUUAAGGUUAAAAGUAAUUGAAAGAGUGUGUCUGUGGAGAGCAAGAGGGGGAAAUGUUUGGUUCCCAACUGGGGUUGCUUCAUCUGACCGUUAAUCUCACAGCAAACACCGACGGAGCGUUGUUGUUGGAGGCUUCCAGGUUCUCUGAUCAAUUCUCUUGUUCUUUGUUUUCUUUGGGGAAGCGGGAAACCUCUCUUUCUUCUAUUCCUUCUGGGCGGGAUGGGGAAGGUGUUGCCAUUGCCAGGGUUUCCGAUCAGGGCAGUGGUUUAGAAGCCGUAGGGGGAGCUGUUAUGGGCCCGUUAAGGAUGAUAUUGGCGGAUGGGAGGGAGGCCGAGGUCUCAAAUUUGGCGGGUAGGGAGUUUGGGACUUUCGAGGAGGCGUCAGAGGGGGUUUCGAAAAGGGUCUCCCAAGAGGAUGAAGAAGAGAGGGACAAAGAGGGGGAACUGUGUUGGCAUUCUAGUAGCUUGGCUAAGUUCAGCCGCUAUCUUGGAAUGCCGAUGGAGGGCUUCGAAGGGGAAAUUUUGUUUUUGCUUAAAAGAAUGAAAGAGAAGAAACUUCAAAAAGGAAAGUUGAAUGGCAGAAAAAGGAAAAAAUUGGAGUCAUCAAAAUUCGAAAUAGAAUUGAGAAAGUUGGAAUGGACAGUGAAUUAUCUUGGAGGAGGAGGAGGAGAGGGGGGGGAAGUACGAGCAGGUCUAAAUGAAGCUCCGACUGCUCACUUGGAAUGUAAGAGUGACCAAUAAUUGUGAUAAGAGGAAGGUGAUCAAAGCGUUGAUAAAGAAGAAUAGGGUGGAUCUGGUUUGCCUAUAGGAAACCAAGAUUUAGGAAAUGUCAAUGGGCAUUAUCCGUAGCUAAGGAGUGGGAAGAUUCCUUGAAUGGGGAGCUGUAGAUUCAAGGGCACAGCUGGAGGUAUAGUGGUGUUUUGGGAUAACAGGGUGUUGGAUUUGGUUGACCUUCAAAAAGGAUUGUUCUCUAUUUCUUGCACUUUUAAGAGUUGCGAGGACGGUUUCAUAUGGACGUUUACAAGGGUUUAUGGCCCAACAUUGAGGAGGAAUAGGGAGAGUUUUUGGGAGGAGUUGGGGGCCAUUAAGGGGCUUUGGAAUGGGCCGUGGUGUGUUGUAGGGGAUUUUAAUGCCAUUCUAAGUCCGGAAGAGCGCAACAGAGGAGGGAGCUUGAAUUCAAACAUGAGAAGGUUCUCAGAAGUUAUAGAAGAUCCAGAGUUAAAGGAUCUGCCUAUGGUUGGGGGUCCUUUUACUUGGAUUGGAGGGGUGAAUAACCAGUCUUUUUCAAGGCUGGAUCGUUUUUUGGUUAAUGAGGGGUGGGACAGUCAUUUUGGUGAUGCGAGGCAGUUUGUUCUACCAAGACCUGUGUCCGAUCACUUUCCGGUUCUUCUGGACGGAGGGGGCCUGAGAAGAGGCCCUUCCCCAUUUAGAUUUGAGAAUAUGUGGCUGAAACUGGAAGGUGUUAAGGACCUUUUGAAGCAUUGGUGGGAGGAAGGUAGCUUCAGUGGAUCCCCAAGUUUUAUCUUGGCCGAAAAACUAAAAUUUAUGAAGGCUAAGCUGAAGAAGUGGAACAGAAACACAUUUGGUAGGGUUGAAUAUAGAAAGAAUUUGGCUUUGGAGCAGGUGGAGUUUUGGGAUACCAAGGAGAAAAUUAGCAGACUGUUGUUGGAAGAGCUGGAAGCUAGAAAAGAAGCGAGGGAAGAUUAUAAAAAAUGGGUCUUACUUGAAGAAAUCACGUGGAGGCAAAAAUCUAGGGAAGUGUGGCUGAAAGAAGGGGAUAGAAAUACCGGUUUUUUCCACAAGAUGGCCAAUGCUCACAGGAGGAGGAAUAAUGUGGACAGAAUUAAGAUUAAUGGAGCCUAGCUUACAUAGGAGAAUGGAAUUAGGGAAGGGAUUGCCAAUGCUUUUAGGUUGUUGUUGUCCAAUCCGGGGGAAUGGCGCCCUUCUAUUUUCGAGCUGCAGUUUGAGACUUUGGAGCCUUUGGACGCUAGUGCCUUGGAGAUUCAUUUUUCGGAAGAGGAGGUCUUCGAUGCACUAUUGGGCUGUAAUGGGGAUAAAGCCCCGGGGCCAGAUGGAUUCUCUAUGACCUUUUGGCAAUUUGCUUGGGAUUUCGUGAAGGCUGAUGUGAUGUGUUUCUUCAAGGAGUUCAAUGAAAAUGGCAAAUUUGUUAAAAGCCUAAAUGCAACUUUUAUGGUCCUAAUCCCAAAAAAAGCAGGGGUUGAAGCCUUAGGGGAUUUUAGGCCUAUAAGCUUGGUGGGAAGCUUGUACAAGUGGCUGGCCAAGGUCUUAGCUAAUAGGCUAAAAAAGGUGGUUGGAAAGGUGGUCUCCAAGGCUCAAGGGGCGUUUGUGGAAGGUAGACAAAUCCUAGAUGCAGUGUUGAUAGCUAAUGAAGCCAUUGAUUUGGUUCUCAAGAAUAAUGAGAAUGGCAUUCUGUGCAAACUGGAUAUAGAGAAGGCGUAUGAUAACAUGGACUGGACUUUUAUUCUCACAGUUAUGCAGAAAAUGGGUUUUGGGGAAAAAUGGAUCAGGUGGAUUAAGUGGUGUAUAUCCACUGCAGGUUUCUCCGUGUUGGUCAAUGAAACCCCUACGGGUUUCUUCCAAAGCUCCAAGGGUUUGAGACAGGGUGAUCCCCUUUCCCCUUAUCUCUUUGUGAUAGUUAUGGAGGUCUUUAGUGCUUUUCUUAAAAGGGCUGUAGAGGGAGGUUUCUUAUCGGGUUGUAGGGUGAAGGGUAGGAGUGAAGAAGGGGUCCUAAUUUCCCACUUGUUGUUUGCUGAUGAUACACUGGUGUUCUGUAAACCUUCACAAGAUCAAUUGACUUAUCUCAGUUGGUUACUUAUGUGGUUUGAGGCCGUUUCGGGAUUGAGAAUAAAUUUGAAAAAAAGUGAACUCAUUCUAGUAGGGAGGGUAGAGAAUAUGGAUGAUCUUGCUUGGGAAUUUGGUUGUAGACUGGGUAGCCUUCCAACCACCUAUUUGGGGAUGCCCUUGGGUGCUCUUUUUAAGUCAGUUACAGUUUGGGAUGGUGUGGAAGAGCGCUUCUGAAGAAGGUUAGCCAUGUGGAAGAGACAAUAUUUAUCCAAGGGAGGAGGGCGACUCUUAUUCGAAGCAUGUUAUCGAAUUUACCCAUCUAUCUCAUGUCAUUGUUGUGCUUACCAAGCUCAAUUAGACGGAGAUUAGAGAAAAUCCAAAGGGACUUCCUUUGGGGUGCAAUUUGGAGCGAAAGCCUCAUUUAGUAAGAUGGGAGUUGGUGUGUUUAAGUAAGAAGAAAGGAGGUUUGGGGGUCAAAUGCCUUUCCAUUCUCAACAAGGCUCUUCUUGCUAAAUGGAAUUGGCGUUUUGCAAAUGAGAGAGAAGCUUUGUGGAAUCAAGUGAUUAGGGGGAAGUAUGGAGAAGAUAGAGGGGGUUGGUGCUCUCGGGAAGUGAGAGAGGCUCAUGGUAUGGGGUUGUGGAAAGGAAUAAGGAUGGAUUGAGAGUUGGUGAGCGAUAGGAUGGUUUUCAUUGUUAGUAAUGGGAGGAGGGUGAGAUUUUGAAGGGAUAGAUGGUGCGGGGAUUCUCCUUUGUGUAUGUCUUUUUCUUCUCUUUUUGAUUUGACUGUUGAAAAGAAAGCGUGGGUGGCAGAUUUUGG
Molecule: long non-coding RNA, 87567 nt
Filed under: Vitis vinifera (wine grape)
Lineage: Eukaryota; Viridiplantae; Streptophyta; Magnoliopsida; Vitales; Vitaceae
Description: long non-coding RNA (VVIN_LNC006926)
Source: RNAcentral